AGAUUGGUCGUUAACGGUAACGGUUGCUUGAAAGCGAGGGUUGUGGUCAAGGCCUUGUUUGGCUGUUGUGUAUACUGGCAAGUUCCACACUCUCUGGUGGCAUAGCUCCUGCAGCUUCGUUUUGUACAUCUUUUUUGCUUACAAUAUUUUCACUGAUUUUAAUUUUUUUUUUGGAAUGGGAAACUCAAGAGAAGAGAGAAAUGGAAUUUAGUUGCAAAAUUUGAAGUUUAAUUAUCAAAUAUUACGCCAAGAGAGUACGCUUCAGUUCCACGAACAGGUUCAGAAUAAAUGACGCUUGGGAAUGCUGAAAUGGAAUAAGGCCUUUUUAUAAACAAAUAAUAAUAGUAAACCGACGCCACGGUGUUUUAAAAAUAAGUUUUUUUUUUUUUAACCUUGAAAUUCCUUAUCACAGUGACGUUUUAAAAUAAUAUUUUUUUAAAAUGCAAAAAAAAAAUUUCUUUCUACCAUUUAUAAAAAAGAAAACUUAAAUAAUUUACUGUAUUAAACGUUAAAAUAAACUAAUAAAAAAUUAUCGAUAUUCUAAAAACCAAAUAAAUAAUACCUUUCCUUUAUCUUCUUCUCAAGGAAGGUGGCUAAAAACUUUCUUCUCCAAAGAGAUCUUGUUCUAUAAGGAGACAUGACAUGAAAGUUGAAGGAGAGGGUGAUCGAAGGGGGGAAUAAAAAAUCUUUUAUGGUUGGCUCGUGGACAUGGACUUCUUAUGAAAGGUGGUAACGCUGUCUCAACGUCAUAAUUAUACCGAAGCUAAGUCCAUUUCAAUCAAUAUAAAAUAUGAAUGCGGUAACGACUAACGAGAAGUUAAUAGUUUUGGAUCAAACGAAUAUACAACGUCGUUCGUGUGUUUAUCAAAUAAGAAUUCAAUUUAAACAAUGUAAAUGUGUUAACAAGAAAUUGAGAGUUAUUGAUAAGACGAGCAUAAAAUUAAAACGUCAUUCAUAUGUUCAUCAAACAAGAGUCCAUUUAUGUAUAUGUAUUAACAAGGAGUAGGGAGUUUUAGGUAAGACAAGCAUGUUGAGUUGUAAUCGGAAUAGACAGAAAUCAGAAUAGGAAAUGGAGAUCAGAAUAAAUUAUUUAUUUGAACUGUAGGAAUCGAAAUCGGAAUGAAUUGAAUUGUCAUAAAUGUGUUUACUUUGUCUUGGAAUCGGAAUCGAAAUGAAUUAAAUUAUAACAAAUUAUUAAAAAGUACUUAAUAAAUUAUUGUUAUAAUUAUUAUUUUAUAUUUUAAUUAUAGUGAUUAUUUAUUCAAAAAUUAUUAUUAUUAAUUAUUGUCAAUAAUAUAUUGAUAUAUUAAUUAAUUAUAAUUAUUAUUAUAAAUAUAUUAAUUACUAAUAUUAAUAUAUUUAUCUGCUGUACCGUACAUCCNNNNNNNNNNNNNNNNNNNNNNNNNNNNNNNNNNNNNNNNNNNNNNNNNNNNNNNNNNNNNNNNNNNNNNNNNNNNNNNNNNNNNNNNNNNNNNNNNNNNNNNNNNNNNNNNNNNNNNNNNNNNNNNNNNNNNNNNNNNNNNNNNNNNNNNNNNNNNNNNNNNNNNNNNNNNNNNNNNNNNNNNNNNNNNNNNNNNNNNNNNNNNNNNNNNNNNNNNNNNNNNNNNNNNNNNNNNNNNNNNNNNCAUCUGCUGUACGGCCAAGGCGGAUGUACGGUACAGCAGAUUUGACUUUUUAUUUUUUAUAUUUAUAUCUUUUAUUUAAAGAAGGGGCAUUUUAAGAAAUUUUGAAUGUCAACGGAAGCAAAAGAACUCUAGGUAAUGGGAGAUUGAUUCUCACCUCUCCCAAGGAAUCAAUCUCUCAUUCCUCAUUCUCAAAUAGUGGUGGGUUCCAUGAUUUCAAUUCUGAUUCUUACUCCAUUUUUUGGAAGUAAAUGCCGUUAAUCAUUUUGAUUCUCCAAUUUGGAAAAUAAAUGUACCAUAAUAUUUAAUCAAUUAUUAUGAUUAUUGGAUUUUUCAGAUACUUUUAUCUAUUUUGGUUGGAGGGACGAAGUUCACUUUCUAUUAAAAGAAACAUUAGAGGAGCUUUCAAAGUCUAGGCUAAGGUUGUUUCCCAUGGCCUUGAAGCAAUACCCAAAAAGAGCUUUCCGGCUGGCAAAAUAGGCUUGUGUUUCUGCGUCGCAAAAUGAUGUGAAUGAGCUUUCGGAGUGUUUCCUCUGAAAUUUUAGAUGCUGCAAAAUCAACAUUGUCCCGCUCGAAGUAACCCGGACAAUUUCAUUUCCUAAUUUCUUCUUAUUUAUUAUGGCAUUGAUUUUCAUUGCAAGCUCAUUGCUCUGCUAAGAAAAAGAAUAAAUGGGGGCCAAAAAAGGAAGAAAGAAAUAGAGGCAAAGGCAACAACAUUAAUGCACAAACCAGUAAAGGUAUUCCAUCGAUUUACGGCCACUGAUAGCAAGCCGGGGCCUUUAAAAACGGAAAAUACAAGCAAAGAAAAAUAGAAGCCAAUUGCUCAAUAGUGCAUAAUAUGCAUACGGAAAAUUUUCAUCACAUCACGACCCACAGUUAUUCGAAUAGGUAAUAAGACAGGAAUUUUCUUUCUUUGUUUAAAGUGAAAAAAAAAAAAAUCAAUGGCUCAGGAAGUAUCCCUCCAAUCUCCAGAACCACUCACUUGGCACUGGCAAGCUGGGUGCGGAGUAGCUUGGCAGCAGCGACCAUGUUUGAGAGGGCUGGCUUCACCUCAGUGUACUUGCGAGUCUUAAGACCACAGUCAGGGUUAACCCACAAAAUGUUGGUUUCUAGCACAGCAAGCAUCUUGUUGAUUCUGUCAGCAAUUUCUUCAGUUGAUGGUAUUCUUGGAGAGUGGAUGUCAUACACACCAGGGCCAAUUCCAGCACCAUACUUGACUCCCUCACGGAAGACAGACAGGAGCUUCUCAUCAGAACGAGAGUUCUCAAUGGUGAUCACAUCAGCAUCCAUGUCGAUAAUUGAGUGGAUAAUGUCGUUGAAGUUGGAGUAGCACAUGUGGGUGUGGAUCUGUCAAUCAAUAUACAAUAAGAUGAGACACAACAUCAACAGCUAAAUUAGAGAGAUGAGAUUGGAGAUUGAAAGGGCAACUGACCUGGGUAGUGUCCUGGACGCCACAGUUGGUGAUUCUGAAGGAGUGGACUGCCCAGUCCAAGUAGAAAGCAUGCUCAGAUUUCCUAAGAGGCAAUCCUUCCCUCAAGGCAGCCUCAUCAAUUUGAAUAACGUUAAUGCCUGCCUUCUCAAGAUCCUCGACUUCGUCCUUGAUGGCCAAAGCAAUCUGGUAGCAGGUUUCAUGUCUGCAAAAUUGGCAGCGAUUUAUGUUAAACAAUGUUUCCAUUUCAAAAGGUUAACCAAUAGUGAACCAGUUCUCAUUUAUAUACCUGGGCUGGUCAUUUCUAACAAAGGACCAGUUGAGAAUGGUGACAGGGCCAGUAAGCAUUCCUUUCAUUGGGCGAGCUGUCAUGCUCUGAGCCAAGGAGGACCAGAAGACGGUCAUAGCCUUGGGACGGCUCACAUCACCAUAGAUGAUGGGUGGCUUCACACAGCGAGAUCCAUAGGAUUGCACCCACCCAUUGGCAGUGAAGGCGAAACCUGAUAAUUGCUCUCCAAAGUACUCAACCAUGUCGUUCCUCUACAAAAACAAAUGUCCCAAUUCAAUAUGAGAUACAGCAUACUUCGUAUGCAAUUAGAAAUGCAGAAACAAAAAUGUAUAAAAUUUUAUCUAAUUCAAAACCAGGAGACAUUGCUUUGCUUCCAUUGGGCAUUGUGAAACUCACCUCAGGCUCUCCAUGGACAAGGACAUCAAUAUCAAGCUCUUCUUGGAGUUUGACAACCUUGUUGAUUUCCUCCUUGAUGGAAGCAACAUAUUCUUCCUCAGAAAUCCUAAAAAGGACAAAUAGUCACGGCACAGUUAAUACAGUAGUCGAAGUAAUUUCACACAUGGCAUUGAAUGAAGGAAAACCUCAGAUUGACUCACUUCUUAGCCUUGUAUUCACGGCGGACUCUCCUAAGUUCAAUGGUUUGUGGGAAGGAUCCAAUUGUGGUGGUUGGGAGGAUUGGAAGAUUGAGCUUCUUCUGUUGAGCAUCCAAUCUAGCACUAACGUUUGUAGCACGUCUGUGGUCUGAUCCCUUCAAAGCAGCAGCCUAAUUUACCAAGAGGAAGGAAUCACCGUUAGCAAAAAAAGGAAACUCUAAGGGGCAGCCACAUCAUAAAAAUGGAAAACAAAUCAAUCAUGCCACUUACAGCCUUUUGAACUCUCUCAUUGGUCACUCUCGGGGAGGACUUUCUUGAAGCCUGAGCUGCAGCAUUGGCAGAGAAGAAUCCCUGGAAACAAAUGAAAAGGAGAAACAAAGUUAGUCUCAUUCAUAUCAUUUCAAAAGGAAUAUACAUAUGCAAUUAGUGGGCUGAUUGUGAGAGAAAAUGUCCACAAAACUUUAACCAAACACCAAAUGCCCAAGUUGCCAAAUGAUGUUUAAUUCGGAAAAAUAUAUUUAGAAACAUUCAAAUAAAUAAUUUCCCCUUCUAAAUUUUCAUUUUCAACAACAUAUUUUACAAGCCAAGCUCAACUUCAGGCCAAGAUUUUCUGCUCCUAUAAUUAUAUUUUACCAUAAAACUAGGUCCUUGAAAGGCUAAGAUUUUCUGACUCUUGUGACUAGUCAAAGCCUAAGAUUCUUUCAAUUCAUCCGUAGCUAACAUUUUAGACUAAAAGUAUACCUCAUCCUUUUGGCCAGCCAAAGCCUUGGCCAAUGCAUUCACUUCAACAACUUUCUGGGCAGCAAAUGCCAGCCAUGACUUGAUUUCAUCGUCGAGUUUGUUCUCAUUAACAAGAUCAACAGCAGUGUGAAGAAGUGAGCAGGAGGUGGAGACCACAAGCUUGUCUGCAAAGAAAAAUAAUAAAUUAUACAACAAAUCCCAUAAAAGAAUAAGAAAUAUUUAUCACAAAGAAAAAUGCAGGCAAAGGAUGUAUACCUUUGCCAACAACACCCUCAAGCCCCCGGAGAACACUAAGAGAAGCAGCAAGAUCAUUGGCCCAAAUGUUCCUUCCAUCAACCACUCCAGCAAAGAGGUACUUGCCAGCAGGGAAUCCACUCUUGAUCAAUUCAAGGGUCUUCGUUCCACGAACCAAAUCAAAUCCAUAAGCGGUGACACCCUUCAAAGAAGUGAGGGUCUGGAAUGCCUCAGCUGGAACAUCAGCAAAGUAGGUCUCAACAAGAACAUUCAAGCCAGACAGAGUUGACUCUAGCUCGGCAUAAGCCUCACUGAAUGCAUGCAAUUUGUGUGAGUCAAGAUCCAUAACAAGCAAUGGCUCAUCAAACUGAAUCCAGGAAGCACCAGCAGCCUUAAGCUCAGAAAUAACUUCCCUGCAGAAGUGUUAAUUGGUACAACACAGAUUAAUGAUGUCACUCGAUAUAUACACACAGAGUUAUUUAGCACAUACACAUUUAUAAAUCAGUAAUAGGUGAUAAUUUCUUACUUGUAGAUUGGAAGGAUUUUCGGAAGAAGAGAAAGAAGAGAAAAGGUCUUCGCAACACCCUUGGCAGGCUUAGACAGCAACAAGUAUGACACAGGGCCAAUAAGCACUGGGACAGUUUCAACUCCAAGCUGCAGCAUUAGACAAGUGAUCGAUAUUAGCAUCUCACAAACUUGAUCUGAUUGAUAGAAAGUUACAAGCAAGUUCAGAAUUCGUUUAAUGAAAUCUCUAUGAAAAAUCUUCAGGGUCCACAAUGUGUUGAAAGUACCCUUUUCAAGUAAUUUAUCUUAAGACUAUUUUGCAAACAGUAUUGCUUUCCUUACAGAUCAAAUAAAUCAAACAACAUAUGAACACAUUUACUGAACCAAGUCUAAGUUCAAAGCUCUAUAAAUAAAUGUCAAUGAAUCUAUAGUAAAUUCUAUUGCAUCCUAAGCUAAAGAUGAGCAUAUCAUAUAAGAAUUUCAAGGUGAACGUAACCCAAUUUCAAUAUAUUGUAGAUUCAGAUAUCAAACGAAAUAAAAUUUGUAAAUAUAGACAGAACUGAGAAUAAACACUCACCCCCUUAGCCUCCUUGUACUCAGUCACAGCCUUGUGGGAAGCGUAGGAGAACUUAACAUCGGGUCCCAAUUCAGGAACAAUGAAAUGACUGCAUCAACACGAAGCCAAACACGCGUCAGCAUUCAGUACAAAACCAUUACACCAUAAAUAACUUGAAAUGCCGCUCUUCCAAGUAGUGAAUACUUACUAGUUGGUGUCGAACCACUUGGUCAUUUCCAUAGCGGGAACAGAGGCGUUUCCUCUGGCCAUGGAGAAGUAAACAUCAAAUCCAAUCUCGCCGCCGUUCCAGUUAUACCUCGGGGGCACGGCACCGAGCAUUGCGGUGGUGUCGAGCACUUGGUCGUAGUAGGAGAAAGUGUUGCUGGGAAUGUAUUUGAUCCCGGCCUGGGACAUCUGUUUCCAGAUGGAGGAUCUGAGAUCAGCGGACACCUUUUGCAAAUCCUCAGCGCUGCUCUUGCCAUCCCAGAAGGAUUCCAACGCGAACUUGAGCUCCCUCUUGGGGCCCAUGCGUGGGUAUCCAACGAUGUGAGAUGCCAUUUUACUGUCAUAAUCACGUCAUCAAUGAAUCGAAAAUCAGUCACUUUCAUUAAAUCAAGAAAAUAUUCAUUCAAAUGGAUGGGUCAUUGCUAUUACUGCUCAAAUCAAAUGAAAUCAAGAACACUUAUCAGAGCAUAAAAUCUUAAAUUAAUUUUUUUAUAAAAAAAUAAAAAACCAGUUGAAACAAGCUGAUAAUAAUCCAAGAGUUUGAGAUGAUUUUUUUCUUUCUGUAAUCACAUGAACAAUUAUGUACUUUCAGUCAUUUUUGAAGGAUUAAAACAAAAAAUUCUACAAAUAGAUUCUGAAAAGAAGAAUCUAAAAAUAGAUUCAAAAACAGUAACACAAGUAGAGUUCAAAUUGUUUUUCGGAAAAGAUUAAUUACAGAUCUGAUUGAUUCACGUUCAGAUCUAGCAAAAUCACGGCAGCCAAACACUAGAUCUAACACUAACAGUCACUCACCAGUCCAUUAGAAAAUGAAAUCAAGUUCAAAAUUCUUUUAAAGUUAAUUCUUUUUUAGAAAAUGACCAGAUUUUAGUUGAGUAUUAGUGAGUUUUUUACAAAAUAAUUUAUUUUUGUUUUUUAGAUCCAAAAGUUCGGAAAUCAAAACCAUGUUCAAUGCUUAUUCAUGAUUAACGGCGUAAAAACGCUACUGCAGAGAAGACAUAACGAAAAUGGGAACCGUACCAAACAGAGAAAGAAGAGCAGAGAAAUUGAGAGUCGAGAGGAGAGAGAGAAGAGAGCGGCGAGUUUGGGGGAGUGCCCUCUCCGUUAUUUAUAGCCAAAAAUCAAAUCUGGUUUGGUGGUUGCCUUUGGCGUGCCAACCUGUAGAUCUGAGAUUUUUCAUCUUAAUUUCUUUCUCUUAUUUAUUUAUUUAUUUAUUAUGAUUUUCAGUGCAGUUCAUAAAAUAUAGAGCUGACGCGCGCUUUUCUGAUGUGGCGCGUGAAUUGGAAAUGCGGUAGGUCUUUGUGGGCCCCACGGCACGGUCAGGACUGAAGGAAAAAUGUGAGAAGUUAUCAUAAUUUCAACAGUGCCAUAAUUAGCAAUUACACCACCAAAUAUUUCUUGAGUUUUUUUUUUUUGAUUGCUUUAAAUGCAGAGUUGUUAUGAAUUGUGUUAAUUGUAGAGUUGUUAUGAUUAGAUUACAUUAUAAUUCGUCACAAUUAUGAUAGGUAUGUACGUAUAUAAUAAUUUAUGAGUAAUGAUAUAACCACAAACUCUUAUACAAACUUAUUUUGUACAAAUUGAUGUGGCAUGAUAAAAUUAGUUGAAUUAAAUAUUACUUGAUCCACAUGAUUUGUUAUUAUUAUUUUAUAUUUUCAUUCAACCAAUGAAUUAAUGACACGUCAGUUUGUACAAGAUAAGUUUGUACAAGAGUUUAUGGUUGUAUCAUCACUCAUAAUUUAUAUAAGAUCUCGAAUAUUUAAAAAAUUUAUAAAUCAUUAUUUUCAUGUACAUUUACCUGGUAGCAAUGACAAUAACAUAAAAUAAACUCCAAACAAGAAUGGAUUAUAUUAUUUAUGUUAUUUUAUAGCUUUUUAAUUGAUUUUUAAAAGGAUUAAUUGUUAAUCAUUACUCUCCAACCGUAAUCACCAUUAAAUAUUUAUUUAAUUUAAUAGUCGGUAGAUCAUAAAUAAGAUUAGAAUAUUUAAUGGACAAUCUAAUUGCUACUACAAUUGUUAUCAUUUUUUUAAGGUAAGGGAUUAGACAAUACUCAAAUUUAUUUUUUAACCCCUUACUCCCUAAAGAUUCGAAUUUAACUAACUAAUUAAAUAAGACUGCUUAAAAACCACUCAACCACAUCUUUUGGGGACCAAUUAAUAUCGAUGUUUAAACUGAGGUUUAUUAUUAAAUUUUUUAAGUUUCAAGUUUCAACCGCUAACAACAUUAUCAUCGAUUAAUGAUAAAUAUAAUAAUAUUUCAUCAAAAAACCAUUUAACACAUCCAUCCAUAUUAAACAUAAGUAAAAAAUUUAUCAUGCAUUUCAAAUAUAUUUUUCAUCCUAAAAGUUAUGGAGAAAAUCUUGAUAUCAAAACUUACAAUGUAAUUAUGGGAUGUAAUUUUGCAUUUGAGGUCAGCACAACUUAAAAAUUACUAUGAAUGAAAAUUUAUAAUAAGCAGACACCACAAAAAAAAAUUAUUUAUAAGUAUUACAAUCAUGCAGUUUUAUUUAAGUAUUUAACCAAGUCAUUCAAUUUCUAAUUAAGACGGUAUAAAUUAGAUUUGGGCUGCCUAAGACCAAAAGUCAAAAAAAAAAAAAGAAUAUUCCUAAUAAGCAGCCUACCGCGGUCACGCGCCUUAAGAAACGCUUGGACUUAGCACACGAUUUUAAUCCAAAAUGUAUAAAAAAGGAAAAAUUUAUGAGGUGUAUAAUUAUCUUGAGUUGUUAUAUUUUGAAGAAACAAUGAAGAAAGUUGGUGGCCGAAGUUGAUCCGGGGCGAAUGGUGGUGGGCCCACGUUGUUGCAUUAUAAUUGGAGUUAUUGUAAUUUUUCUUAUAAUUAAUAAACUCCAUUUUUCAAAGAAAAUAAAUAAAUAAAUACACUCCCGAUUACGAAAAUAUCAUUUCAUGAGUGUCAAAGUUAGAGCUGGCAAAAUUUGACACGACCCGAUUACCUGACACGAACACGACAUAAAUAAAUAAGUAUGGAUCGUCAAAUUUAACACGAUUAUUAAAUGGGUCGGGUCUGGGUCAACACAAUUUUUUUCCGUGUCGGGUUUGGGUUAAAAUUCUUGACCCAUUUACCCGAUCAAUGACCCGAUUAUAUUUUCUAUUUUAAAAUAAUUUACAUAUUCUUAUAAUUAAAACUCAAAUAUUAGAGAUAUUUUUUUUAUUCUUUAAAAUGGUGAAUAUAAACACAGUGUUUUAUUUAUAAAAUUUUACAUACAUUUAGAGCUUCAAUAGUGUAAAUGUGUAAAAAUUGAUAGACAUGUAUAUUUUAUAAUAUUGAUAUAUAAUAUUAUAUAUAUAUAUAUAUAAUUAAAACCUCAAUAGUGUACAUGUGUAAUAUAUUGGUAGAUAUGUAUAUUUUAUAAUAUCGAUAAAUUAUGUAUGUAUGUAUUUAUGUACAUACGUAUGUAUGUAUUUAUGUAUAUACGUAUGUAUGUAUUUAUGUACAUACGUAUGUAUGAUAGUGUGUAAAUAUUUUAUGUAACUUUUGUUCAAUAUAUAGAUAUUAAACGGGUUAUUGGGUAACCCGAUUGUUUUUCCGUGUCGGGUUUGGGUCUCAAUAUUUUGACACGAUUAUUAAAUGGGUCGGGUUUGGGUCGACCUAAAUUUGACACGACACGACACGAACACGACCCGAUGACCCGUUUUGCCAGCUCUAGUCAAAGUGACCGUCACCUACGCAUCGCGUUUGUUGGGCGGGGUGGGUAAGGUGGGGCGAGGAGUUUGUUUGAUCGUCUGAUUACUUUGAUUUUGAUGAAACGUAUGGACGACGGCGAUGGCUUGCCAGCAAGUGGGUUUAUCAUGAUUUUGAUUGUAUUCGGGGAGAUGCUUAUGUAUAUCCUCAAAACUUCUUGGAAAUGAAAACCGCUGGGGUGGCAAAUCUUGACCAAUAAAGUGUGCGUGAUGUUGCGUUUAUAAAUUUCAAUAAUACUAUUGGCCGAUUGAGAUUAUUUUUAAAAAGUUUAAAAAUAAUUUUUAAAGGUUAAAUGUUAAUUUUAAUAUUGAAUAAAUUUUUAAAAAUUAUUUUUGAUAAAAUCAUUUUAUCCUCCAAUAAAUUUUAAAAAAUAGCGAUACAGUAAUUUUUUAAAAUCUAAUUUUAAUAAUCAAAACUAUUUUUUUAUAUAAUUUUAUAGAUAUCCGCAUAUAUAUAUUAUAAAAAUUCGAAAUCAUUAUUAUUAAUUAGGAAAUAAAAUCAUUAACUUUUAAGAAAUUAUUAUUAUUACCAAUUAUACUGACAUAACAAAAUAAAAAAUUAAUUAAUAUUAUAAAUAUUUAUUUCAGUUAUCAACUAUUAUAUAUACACAAUAAAAAAUAUUUUAUAUACAUAUUUAUAAAUGUAUAAAUAAUUUUUAUUCAAUAUUAUAUCGAAUUAAUCAUUUACAUUCUUGCAACAAGUUAACAAUAAAAUUUACCAAACACAUACGAUUGUUUUUAAAACUCAUAUUAUUUUUUUAAAAAAAAAUUACUAAACCUUUAACUGAUUCUCUUACAACUGAUUAUUUCUACAGUACAAUUAACAACAAUUAUUUUAAAAACUAUAACAUUUUCAAACUAGCCCCAUGACAAUAUUGUUAUUGUUGUUUUUCUUACUCUUAUCAAUAAAACUACGUUGCACAUAAGUGCAUAAAAAUUCACACAAAAUAAACUAUUUAACUUUAGGGUAUUAAUUGAAAAAAAAAAUCAGAUUAAGGUGAAUAAAUAUCAGAAAAUAACAAAUAGAUAAACUCUCACACUCUUUAAAAAAAUUAAUUUUAUAAUUUUAUUUAAAACCAACAGAUAUUACCAAACUUAACGGAUCAAUGUUCCAAUGUUUUCUUUUUAAUUUCAAAACCAACAGAUAUUCUUUGUUCAUUAUAUGACCUCCAAACAAAUAAUUUCAUUAAUAAAAUAAUAAUGAAAAGUAUCGUGGUGAGUACAGAGUAAUUCGGUGGCUAAUAAAAGUCUCUAUUUUUCGUCUCUGUUUUUCAUUUUAACUCUUGGGGUUGGUGCCACUUCGGCCUUGGUCGGAGUGGUGGGCUGCUGCCCUCACAAGUAUUGUGAGGACAGUGGUUCAAGCCCCCACAAAUAUUUUUGUGGGGGCUAACGUACUUAUUUAUUUAAUAUUUCAAAAAUUUCUUCUCCCUCGUGCAAUACGAGUGGAGUAUGGACAUCCCUCCUCUAUAAGGGAUUAUUUGUCUGGGCAUGUACUUCACAGAAUUCAAUGUAAUAAUAUAAGUCUCAAUCAUAUAUUUUUGAUUGUAAAUAUCAAUAUAAUAUAUCUGCUAUAAUAGCAGUUGUAAAUAUCUGUGUAAUGCAAUAAUAUGAUAAUUAAUCAUUAUUCAAAAAAAAAACUCUUGGGGUUGGUAGGCUCGUGAAUGGUCCACGUAACCUCUGGACGUAACACUCAAACAAAGACAGCACAAGGCACAUGAAAAAUGCCUAAAAACCGUAAAACCGUGACGUGUUCAACAUAUUAAUAAAUUUAUACUGUGUUUUCUUUUUUUUUUUAAUACUGUGUUGAUAAAGCACUUACGAUGGAACGACCAAUUCUAUUACUUGCAAAACUAAUUAAUAUUUCACUCUAUCAUCUAACUAAUGGAAGGCCAUCUUAAUUGAGGUUGCAAUAGUUAGAAAGUAGCGGGAAGGGUGGCCAAUGCUCCAUAUUAAUUUGCAUCAAUCCCUUUCUGGUGAAGAAGUACGGGUGAAGUAGAGGUCAAAGUUAGAAGAUGAAGGGUGUGUUUGGGAAUUGAGAGUGAGGUGCUGUAGUUUUUUAGCUGCAGUUGCUGUGAAAUAAAAGUUAUAACUGUGGAAUAGAAGUUGAGAAAAAAAAUUUGUUAAGCUGCCAAAGCCCAGUUACAAAUGUUACCAAACACCUUAGUAGCUAGGCUUUGGCAGCCCAUCUACCCCAUCACACUCCCAAACGGAUUAGAAGGGGACCGGGAUUGCUUUGUCAUAUUUGAAAAUGAUUUUGAAAAAAUAAAAAUUAAGUUCAGAAUUUGGUAAAUUCCUUUAAAAUUUCUUUUAGCAAAAUCACUCUCUCCUUUAGAUUUUGAAAAGUAUGGAAUGAGUAGUUUUUUAAAAUUUAAUUUUGAAAUUCGGAUUCAUAUUUAAUAUAAUACCAUAUAUCAUAACAUGUAUUAUAAAAAUCUAAAAUUAUCCUUAUUCAAUCAAUUAAGAAGUAAAAUCUUACAUUUAAAGAUAUUAUCAUUAUCAAUUAUAUUUAGAUAAUAAAAAAUACAAUUAAUAAAAUAAAAAUAUUUAUUUUAGUUAUCAAUUAUUAUAUAUAUACAUAAAAUGUAAUUAUAUAAACAUAUUUAUAAAUGUAUGUGUAAAUUAAAUUUGUAGAUUUAUGUUUAUAUAGAUCAUUUGCAUUCUUAUCACAUUUUAAAAGUGAGAUUUAUUAAAUAUAUAUAUGAUUAUUUUUAAAAUUUACAGCACUUUUUAAAACAAAAGUAUCAAAAGUUUAAUUGAUUCCUUAUUUUUACUGUACAACUAACAGUAAGAUGUGUUUGGUUCAAGUAUAAAAUGAUGGGAUUGGACAAUUUUAAGAUUAAAUAAUCCUAAUGCAAUGUUUGGUACCAAAAAUAAUUGUGGGAUAAAAAUAGUGGACCCCACCAUUUAAUCCAACACAAUGUCAAAAUUUUAUCACAAAGGGGGGUGUGGGAUAAGCUAAAACUUAAACGUAGGAUAACAAAAAAAAAGCCCAAAAUUUUAUACAACACAGUGAUUUUUUUUUUUUUUUGAGUAUGUCAUCAUCCAAUGAUAGUAUAUAUGCCAGAACACUCUUUUGACGUUAAUGAUAUGUAAUAUUUUCAUAUAUACAGCUAGUGACAUUGUUAUGUAAUUUCUUUUUCAUUUAUAGAUUUAUAUUAUUAUUAUAUUUGUUGAUGAUAUUCUUGUUAUGUUUAUAAUUAUAUUAUUUAGUAAUUUAUAAGUUUAAAAACUAUAACAUGUUAAAUAUAAGAAAAACUUUAAGCGAAGAUUUUGUAUUUUUUAACAAAUUUACCAAUAAUUUUUUAUUUAAGUUAGAUUAUAUUCCAUGUCAUUUUAAAAUAAAUCUAAGAUAAUUUUGAUAAAUUAAUAAAUAAGACAUAUUAUUAGUUACUAACCAAUUUCAUGGCAUACCAAACAUGAGAUAUGAUUAUUUACAGUCUAAUCCAACAUUGCACCAAACGUAAUAGAGUAUUAUAUAUAAUCCAAUGUUAUCAAAUCCAAUCAUAUCUUAUCCAAUCCGAUCCGAUCCAGUCUAAUCCAAUUUGACAUACCAAACAAGCCCUAAUUAUGUUAAAAACUACAUCAUUACCAAACUGACCCUUAAUACAAUCUCAUACAUACAUACAUAUAUAUAUAUAUAUUAAAAAUUAAAAAUUAUCUUUAUUUAGUUAGGAAAUAAAACCAUUAUAUUUAAAUAGAUUAAUAUUAUUACUAAUUAUAUUCAGAUAACAAAAUUAAUAAAAUAAAAAUAUUUGUUUGAUUUAUCAAUUAUUAUACACACAUAUUUAUAAAUGCAUGCGUAAAUAAAAUUUUAUAGAUUUAGGCCAAGGCGGAUGUACGGUACAGCAGUAUCUUUAUUUAGUUAGGAAAUAAAACCAUUAUAUUUAAAUAGAUUAAUAUUAUUACUAAUUAUAUUCAGAUAACAAAAUUAAUAAAAUAAAAAUAUUUGUUUGAUUUAUCAAUUAUUAUACACACAUAUUUAUAAAUGCAUGCGUAAAUAAAAUUUUAUAGAUUUAUGUCUAUUUAAAUCAUUUGCAUUCUUAUAACAUUUUAAAAAAAGAAAAGAAAAGUGAUUUACCAAAUACAUGUAAUUGUUCUUCAAACUUACAACACUUUUAAAAUAGAAUUUAAUAAAUGUUUAAUUAAUUUUUUCACAGCUGAUUAUUUUUAUGGUAUAACUAACAAUAAUCUAUAAACUUAUGGUAAAUAUUUGUGUGAAUGUUGGUCCAUGUAAAGAAGUAAAAACAACGCAUAUAUCAAGCAAUAAGAUAUCAAAACUCUUAGUAAAAUACAUAUACUAAUGAAAGAAUGACAGCAAUGCAAUAAAUAAGAUUAUAAUAUAAAUUAUUAAAAUUGUAUAUUAAAAAUUGAUGUAUGAAAUUCUUUUUAUUUUAGUGAUAGAUAAUGUGAUAUAUUUGAAUAAUUUGAUUAAAUGAAAAGAAAAAUAACAAGUAUGGUUGUGGAGGAAAUAAACCAUUGAACUGUGGAAUGUUAUUAAUUAUUGCUAUUUCAUUAUGUAACGUCCUGAUAAUAAGUACAGUGUUAUAGUAUAUUGAUGGGUGGUGAUAUUGUCACCCCUUAAAUUGUGUAAAGUCAACCUCAUUUACAAAUUUUUUGAUAUAAAUUAAAAAGUACAUUAGUUUUAAUAAAUUAUAUAUUUAUUGAAUAAACUAGAACCGUUAGGGAGCUGUAAUGUUAGCACUGUUUUAACUUAUUAUAAAAAAAAAAGUUAUGAUUUGAUCAUAACUCUAAUUUAGAAAAGAAAAAAGAGUUGAAUUGCUAACAUACUUAAAAAUAAAAUAAAAACAUUAUUAUUAGAUGAAAAAUUGUAAAACUUAAGGGGGCAUUUGCAAGUCCGCCACUACUCAAUAGAGCAUUAUUCAGUACUCGUUAAUAUAUCUCGAACUUUUAGGUUUUUUUAAUAUAUUUUUAAUACAUUUUCUAGAACAUUUAGAUAAAAAGAGUCAGUACUCCAAUUGAGUUGUGAAUAAACAUUUAGAUAAAAAGAGUCAAUACUCCAAUUGAGUUGUGAAUAAACUCAUGUUAAAAAAAAAAAAACUCAUUUUCACACUUGAAACGAUUAGUAAAUGGGUGAUACGAAUUUAACUUGGUCAAUAAUAUAUACCAUCUUAAGUUAACUUCAACUCAUUGAUCUUCUAUAGGGUUGAUCAGCCUGCCACAAGGCCCACAAAUUAUCACCUCUAAUGCUUUUGCAACAGUCGUUAUAAAUGCUGACAAAAUGAAACUUCUAUAUAUUUUGGUUUUUUUUUAUUUCUAUGAAAUAUAAGGCCCUUAUGGCAAAUUUCCAUCCAGCGUGAAAUUUGCUAGUUUGGCCUUGGUACUGUGGCACAUGCGUCAUGCAUGCGUGGCUGAGAUGCUUCUAAAACUAAUAAAUUAUGAAGAAUUCCAAAUUCGUACCAAAAAUAAGAGAAUAGGAGCUUGUCAUAGGUGUCCGCGGAUCGGAUUUUAUGGGUUAAACAUUAAUUCAUAUUUGAUUCGUGAUUUUGUAGAUUAUAAAUUUUUAAUUUAAUUCAAUUUAUGGAUUAGUGAAACUCAAUACAAAUUCAAUCCAUAUAUAUGCAAAUUAGAUGCGGAUUUAACCCAAUGCAUAUUCAAUCCAUCAUUUGGCGGAUUGAUUUGCAAAUUAAAAGUUUUUAAUUUUGUCCAAUCUAAAAAGUAAUUAAAUUAAAAAAAUCUAAUAUAUAAAUAAUUGAUUAAAUAAAAAAAUCUAAUGUAAAAAUAAUUUUACUACCAAUUAAAUUCAAAAUUGAACAAGAUUUAAAUAAAUUUAGAAUAAUACAUUCAAAAUUUUAAAAUAUAACACACCGAAAAAAAAAUUCAUUUAUUUAGAUCAAUACAUGAAAAUUAACUAAAAUUAUGAAUUUAAAUGUUGAAACUUGAAAGCUUGGAUGUAACAGGAAGAAUUUAAGAAACUUGAAGAGCUUGAAAAGAAAGUAAGAAAUUAAGUUUAAUUACCUCAAGUGGUGAAGUGAAACAGUGAUUGGCUUGUGCGUGCGGUGGGAUAGAGAUUUGGUGUUAUAUGUCAAAAUAUUUUGUUUGGCUUGGGGUUUUUGUUUUGCUUUAGAAAUUUUAAUGUUUAGGAAACUAUAUUUGCUUAUUUAAUUAUUUCUUAUUUUAUAUUGUUAUCGAAUAAAAUAUAAUAUUUUGUUAAUUUAGCUAUAAUUUUAUGCUGAAUAUAUUUAUUUAAAACGAUUUUAUUAAAUAAAUGUGCAUAUUUAACGAAGGUCUCUGAAAUUUCAACCUGCCUGCUAAUGAUAGCCAAUACGGCACGACCCACCAAAUGUCGGCCCACGCGGGCUUGUGGGCCAUGACGACUUUUUUUGUAAGGGCCCGGCACGGCCCACGGCACGAGUCCGUGCCCAAAAAAAGCCCACCUACCUUUUUUUUUUUUGUCCACAUGUUCAGCGUGCCUAAAAAAACCCACGUGCCUGACGUGCUUUUUUAAGCCCACCAGCCUAAUAGUAACAACAACAACAACAAUAAUAAUAAUUUCAUAGAAAUAAUUAAUGAAAAAUAAAAUAACAAUUCUAGAAUAACAAUUACAUCUAAUUUUAUUUGAACAACUAAUAUUAUAAUUGCACAUAAACUCUAUUGAAUGAAAAUGUAAUUUUUAAUUUAUUAUAAAAAUAUUUUGUUCAUAAUUUUAUUUUUUUGUGCGUAAAUAUGAAAAAUAUUUCAUUCACAAAUGAAACAUAUCUCCAUUAACUAUUAACUAAGUUAUGAUUUCAUAAAUGAAAUAUUAAUGUCGUAAAAUUUUUUAUUUAUCAUUUAUAAAAUCAUGAUAUUUAUUUAUCCAUUUAAUAAAUUAUAAACAUAAAAAAAUUAGAAUACUUAUUUAAACUAGGACUUAAAUUAAUUUUAAAAAGCCUAUACUAAAAAAAUAUAUUAAAAUUUUUAAUUUCAAGGUAUUUAUAAAAUCAUGAUAUUUUAUAUUUAUUUUUCAUUAAAAAAUUUUAUUUUGAUAUACUUUGGCCCACGUGCUAUUGGUGGCCCACGGGCCGCGUGCUUAGCCCACCAAUAAAGUGUGCUUAUUACAUGCCUUUUCGCGUGCCGUGUUUUGCCCCAUCUCUAAUCAUACCGUGCUUUUAAGGCCUGCGUGCCUAAAAUUCUAGGCCCGCCAGCCGUGCCGUGCCGUGCCGUGCCUCGUGCCGCCUGGCCCAUUGGCCAUCCCUACUGCCCGCCAACCACAUUUGUCCAAGAUCAAUUUGUAGGAAAAAAAUUUGAAAAUCAAUAAUUUAUUUAAUUAAUUGUUAAUGUAGGCAUUUGAAUCCCCACAAAAUCUGGGUGUCAGUUCUAGACUUCUGGUGAUAUAUUUUUCUAAUUAAGGAAUAAAAUAUUUUUGUCAUUUUUUUAAUAUUUUAAUUUACCAGGCAUAUCAACUAAUUAAUUUUUCUACUUAGACUAUUAAUUCAUUACGUGCGCAAUCUGUAGCCCGGCGCUCCAAUCCCAUGCAUGUUACACACAACUCAAUCAUUAUUUAUUUAUUUAUUUAUUUUGACCAACAACUCAAUGUUUUUUAUAGAGCUGUCAAAAUUUGACACGACCCGAUUACCCGACACGAACACGACAUAAAUAAAUGGGUAUGGGUCGUCAAAUUUAACACGAUUAUUAAAUGGGUCGGGUCCGGGUCAACACGAUUUUUUUCCGUGUCGGGUUUUGGGUUAAAAUUCUUGACCCAUUUACCCGAUCAAUGACCCGAUUAUAUUUUCUAUUUUAAAAUAAUUUACAUAUUCUUAUAAUUAAAACUCAAAUAUUAGAGAUGAUUUUCUUUUUUUUUAUUCUUUAAAAGGGUGAUAUAUUUUAUAAUAUCGAUAAAUUAUGUAUGUAUGUAUUUAUGUACAUACGUAUGUAUGAUAGUGUGGAAAUAUUUUAUGUAACUUUUGUUCAAUAUAUAGAUAUUAAACGGGUUAUUGGGUAACCCGAUUAUUUUUCCGUGUCGGGUUUGGGUCUCAAUAUUUUGACACGAUUAUUAAAUGGGUCGGGUUUGGGUCGACCUAAAUUUGACACGACACGAAACUGACACGACAUGAACACGACCCGAUGACCCGUUUUGCCAGCUCUAGUUUUUUAAUAUGAAAAGGUAUUGGUUAGCUUUGUCUUUAGUUUUUUCAACUUAUAAUAAGUUUGUAUUAAGGCUCCCUUUGGUACAGAUUUUCAAGUAAAACUUAUUUAGGGUUAUUUUUAGGGACCUCCCCUGAGGUUUGGUGUAUUAACAAUCUGAUAGAAAGUAUUCACGUAAUUACAAAGACCUCCCCUGACAUUUGUAUUAUGUUAAGUGGACUGUUAUUGACUAUUGAAAAUCCAAAAAUACCCUUCCUGCCAAAAUAUUUCUUUAUUCACUGAUGAACUGAUGGGUAAUUCGUGCCAAAAUCACAAAUUACUUAAGAAGAUGAAAAUAUCCAUUGGAUAAAAAAAAUGAAAUUGCUUAAUAAAAAAAUUGACAUUGCAUAAUAAUAAAAAAAAUUGAAAUAAUGUGCGGCGGCAUAGCUGCAUCUUGCAUGCAUAUUAUUAUUGUGAUUUUUUUAUUACAAACUCCAUCCUGCAUGCUUAUUAUUAUUGUGAUUUUUUUUAUUACAAACUACUUCAUAACUAAUACAUGCCACAAGAGCAGAGCUAUUAAAAGAAAUGAUUUUCAUAUUGUAAACUUGAUAGUACAGGUGUUGGCACCGACCAUAAAACCCUUAUGAUACCAAUCUUUGCUCCAUCCAUAUUUAAAUCCAGAUCAAGUAAAUAUUAAAUUGGAUUUCAGGUCCUGAAAAUCCCACUCUAUAAUUGAUAUCUUCGAGUUUUGUUGGUGCCUCAAACCUGGAUCUAGAGCAUCAUCUCUGUCAUACUCGGAACACCUAAACUAAUGGACUUGCUGCAGCUGCUUAUUCUUCUUCUGAAAUGAUGCACGCAGAUAGAUUACAGACUUUGAAAUAAGAAAUACAAUAAACAACAUGUAAUCGAACUUAAGAUUUCGGCAAACUUGUUUGAAAAUUAGAAUCAAACAAGGAAAAUGGCAAGUCAAUAUUUUUUAAUCUAGAAAAAGGGCAAUUUCAAAGUUUAUCACAUGCCAAAUUCAUAGUCUUGCAUCCACUAUUUUCUAGUUUGAAUAACAAACAAAAGCCUUAGACAAAAACACAGAGAACAUCUCACAUGGGAGCAAAAAUUGUGUGUAGAACAAUAUACUUAAGUUACAUGUGAUUACAAUCACAUUAUUUAGCAAAUACAAAAUUACCUUCUCAAAAAAAAAAAAAAAAAAAAAAACACCACCAAAUUAUUGAAGGUAUUACAACAAUAAGGCAAAAGAACACCAAAGGCAUGCACAAACCGAAACUAACACACAACUCAAUUAGUGUCAUGACCCCAAACUGAACAAUCAUAUAAACCAUUGUGGGCUCUCUAAAAGAUUAUCACAUUAUAAGCAAACAGAAACCUAUAUUUGAUGAACUACAUCUAGUACUUACACAACUCUUAAAUCAUUAGGAAAUUGCUCUUAUCAGUCAUUACCCAAUAGUUUUUUUCAACUCAACACUAACAACCCCAAAGAGAAACAACAUCCAGCACCAUUUUCAUUAAUUAAAACAGACCCAUUGUUAUUUUUAAUCAAUAAAAUAACAACAAUAUCGUGUAAGCCACUGAUUCAAGCAUUCAAGCUGUGUUUUCGAAGACUGACCUCUUCUUGCUAUCUAAUUCCAGUCACGAUAGACGCUAGAUGCCGGCAAUACUCGCUUCUUGGAAGCUCUGGACCACCGCACGACGUCAUCUUGUGCAGUAGAUGAAAAUAAAUCAAUGAUUUCAGAAAUUAUUUGUGAGUUGCAGACGCUUCUUCUCCAUGGAUGAAAAUGAUGGUGGGUUUUGUUCAAGUGUAAGCUGUGUUUACGAGGAGAAGUACACUUUGUGAAAAAAUCAUUUUCUUUCAUCUACUGGAUAAUGACUUUGGACUGGGUAAUGGUGUGUUUAAGUCUCUAUUUCACGGACAUUGAAGCAUAUUUUGCUUGAAUUUUGAUUUUGUUUAAAUUUCAAGUUUACUUUUACUUGUUUACCCUUUUAUACUGACGCUUAUGUAUUUUUAUACUAACGUUAAGGGAGGUCUUUGUAAUUAUAUGAAUACUUUCUAUCAGACUGUUAAUACAACAAACCUCAGGGGAGGUCCCUAAAAAUAACCCAACUUAUUUAAAUAGAACUUUUACAAAAAAAAAUUUAGUUAUUUGGUUGUCAAUAAACUUUUCAAGUAUACUUUGUUUGGUACAGCUUUUCAAGUAAAACUUAUUUAAGUAGAGCUUUUACAAAAAAAAAAAAAUUAGUUGUUUGGUUGUCAAUAAAAAUUUUUAUUAAAAAAAAUAUGAAAUUACUUUAUUAGUCAAGUUUUUUUAAAGUUAUGCUAUGAAAAGAAUAAAAUAAGAUUGUCAAAUAAAUAGAAAAUAUUUUAAAUAUUUUAACAUUUAAAAAAACUUUUUAACCUUUAUUUUCAAAAAUCUAAAAUUUAAACUUUUACUAGUAAAGGCAAAAUAAUUUAUUUAAACUUCAAAAGCUUUAUUAGAAAAAUAAUCAAACAAUAACAAAAAUUAUUAUAAAAGCUUAUCGAAUUAAAUAAGUACUUAUAGUUAUUAAAGAAGUUAUAUCUAACAGACACUAAUGCCGAAAGCCCCUUCUAAUUGUGGGUGUAAAAGUUUGAAUUAUGCAUACGGUUAAGGAGUUAAGGUGUGUUUGGCAACUGCAUUAAGUGGAAAUUUUUAUUUUGUUUCGAAUAAAAAUACAGCAAGCUCGUGUUCGGCUCAAAAUAAUGGAACGUUUAAUUUGCAACCGUCGGCGGACGAAGCACACCGUUCACGGCCCUUCGUAUAAAAUUGCAUAUGUAAACGUAAAUAGGUCCGGAUUCAGAUUCGUUGCUGUAGAGAGUGGCACGCACGAUCGGGCUGCUGUCGGUGGUAGGUUGGCAUUGGAAUUCUCAUCACGCGCUUCCCCAGGCGCCUACUUAUGGCAAAUUGACACGUGACGCGUGUGGAUUGAAUGGACAGAGUCCCGGGCAGUGUGUCCAAAGCUGCCAACCGUGCUCUGAUUUUUGUCAUCCAUAAUGGCUAACGACUAACGAGGGAGAUUUCCGGGCAGAAAGAAAUUGUUGUCGUUUCUGAAGGGGAAAAAAAAGUUAUUUAAUUUGUUGUUGAAGACAAAAUGAAGAUCUAAAUAAAUAAUGGCUAAUUUUGAGUGUAAAGCAACGGUAAAUGCAUUAUUAAAUUAGAUUUAGGGUCUGAUUGAGAUUAUUUUUAGAUUUAAAAUUAAUUUUGAAAAGUUAAAAUUAAUUUUGAUGUUUAUUAAUUUUUAUUAAAAAUUAUUUUUGUCAAAAUCUCUCAUCCUCCAGCAUAUUAUAAAAAAUAAGGAAGAAAUAAUUUUUUAAAAUUUAAUUUUAAGAAUCAGUUUUAUACUUAAUAUAAUCCACAUAUAUCCUCGUAAAUAUUAUAAAAAUUUAAAAUUAUUCUUAUUUAUUUAGGAUAUAAAAUUAUUAAAUUCAAACAUAUUAUUAUUAUUAUUAUUAUUGUUAUUAUUAUUAUUAUUAUUAUAAAUUCACACACGCACACACAUACUUAUAAAUUUAUAAAUAAACUUUAUUUAACAUUUUGUUCACUUAAAUCAUUUAUAUUCUUAUAGCAGUUUAACAUUAUGAUUUACCAAACACAGAUAAUUAUUUUUAAAAUCCAUAAUAUUUUUUAAAAUAAAUUUUAAUAAAUGUUUAACUUAUUAUUCUGACAACUGAUUUUUUUUGUAAGGUAUAACCAUUAAUAAUAAAUAUUUUAAAAGUUACAGUAUCCCCAAAUUGGCCCUUACUAAUACUCUGCGUUGCCAACUAAAUACUAAUUGUAACAUUAAACAUCUGGAAUAUUUUUCUCUAACGAAACAACACAAUUAAUUUCCCUCUAAAAAAGAAAAAGAAAAAGAAAAAAUAAACUACCAACCCCACCCCUUUAGACAGCAGAGUUUUAGCUGAGGCGGCUUGCUUGCAUAAGCAUUAAGGCUGCUCUUCACCAACCAUUGAACAUUCUUUCCAUUUGAUUGUUACACUUUACUUCGCCAUCUCAUGUCCAUGUACAUUGUUUUGAAAUGAAGACUUUGCGUACAACUAAUCUUUUUCAAUUCAUAAUAAAAACUCUUUUAAUUAGUUAAUAGCUAUAGCUUCCAAUUGAGACUAUAUAUAAAAAUCCAUAUUGACUGACCAAACCAAUAAUUUUUAAUUGGCUUGAGCAUUGUCUUACUUACUUCAAAAUCGUCACUCUCUUUGAAAAGAACAUGAGAGAGUUCACCUCCAUCUCAACCCUUAACCCUAUAUCUCAGUCAAGAGAUUAUUCAUGGAAAAUUCAGAAAAAAGAAAUGUUGCAAUAUUUACGAAACUCACGUCACGUGAGGUAAGAUAAAUUAUUCCUUUCUGCUUUAAUUCAUGUACAUAAUCAUGAGAAUAACUUUAAUUAUAGUUUAUUUCUCCGUUUUAAGAUUUUUCCUUUUUUUUUUUUAAUUAAUUAAUUAUAGUUCAUUCAUUAAUCCCAUAAGAAAUUAACACCUUUGCCGGUAAAGUCACACAUACAACAAUAUUUUAGAACAAAAGGGAAGAUCAUGCACGAUCAUGAUGUUUUAUUAUAUCUCUAGCAAUAUAAUUAUCUUAUAAUUAAUUAAAAACAAAACAGGUAAUUAAGCCAAAGUGGAUGGCAUGCAUCAAUCAUCAUGCAGAACACCUCCCCUUGUUUUAAAUAUAAAUAAAAGAAAUUUGUGCCCAGAAGACUUAAUUAAUACUUCUCGUUUCUGAAGUGCUCACAUGAUAUAUAGUCGGACGCAUUAUAUUUAAUUUCAUGAAUUAAUCGUACGGUUGUAUUUUGAGAGAGAGAGAGAGAGAGAGAGUGACUGAGUAAGAUAUGGCUUAAUUUAACCAAAUCUACGUAUAAAAUUUUAAAAUGAAUUUUUGAGUUUUAACUUAGGAAUUGUCUAUGAAUAAAAGUGUUAAUCAAAUAUUUCGUGUAAAAACAGUCAGCUGUAACAUUUUCGGUUGCUUUAACAAAACUGUAUAUUUCUGUAAUUUCCUAUAUGGGCCAAAAGGAACAUUUUUCUCAGAAAUUAAAAACUUAUGGUGAAAAAGAUAAGAAAACCAACAGGUUCAAAGGUGCGAGUAAACUGGGCUCUGGUGCGCCCAACUCCCUCUUUUGAUUUUGAGACUCUAUUGACCAUUGAGUUUGAGGCCCCAACGGCCCAGUUUAAAACUGUUAUGAAAAGAAAAAAAAUAUAACUAUAAAAUUAAAAUUAAUAAUGUUUGAUAAAUAUAAUUUUUAAAUAAUAAUUUGACAAAAAUAAUAUAGGGUCUUGUGUAUAUUUUUAUUUGGCAUUUCAAUUAAUCUGCUUAUAUAUAUAUAUAUAUAAGUUAAUCUAUAUUUCUUGCAAGAAGAUAGUAUUUCUUUAAUUAAAGUCAUAACUAAUAUAUAAAUUAUCAACUAACCAUCAAACAUUUAUCUCAUUUUAUCUCCACCACGAUCAUCACCAUUCAUCCUGUCACGAUCUUUAUGUAACUACAAUUAUUUUUUCUUUAAUAAUGUCAACCCACCAACCCCAUAACAAUAUCUCCAAACAUCUCAUCUCAAAAUUCCUAAUAACAUAAGUGUUUAUGUAUGAAAGAAAAUGUGAAAUAUAUAAUCAAAAAGUAGUUUAAUAAUAUAAUGUUUAAAAAUUAUGGUAAAAAUAAGUGAGAGUUUGGCAUGGCAAGUUAAUAAAAAGAUAAAAGCUCGGACACUUGAUGCAUCAAAGUAGCAAUGUCUGUCCAUCAUUAUCAUCAUGCGGGUUUAGGUGCUUCUCAUGAUAGCAUUAGCUGGUAAGACCAUCAUGCAUCGUACUUUCAUUGUUAUACAUUUUGAAGGUAAGAAUGGUUAUGUUACGUCCCUCCGAUUAGGUGUAUUUUUCUUCUUCUUCUUCUUCUUUUUCUUCUUCUUGUACGUAAUAAUUUCUCUUUCUUCCAUGAAGAUUUCUUUCUCUCUUUCUUUUUUUUUUUUUUAUUAUAAAUAAAAUGAUAAGAACUAAUUUCCUUACUAAUUGGUAGGGUCGUUUAAUGGUUCAGAUCCAUUAGAUUUUGUCAAAUUCAAGUCCAAUCCAUCAUAUAUUCCAUUUUAUAUUCCGGAUCCGAUCACUAAUAGAAAUCCAUUAUAAUUUAAAACAAUAAAACGUCGAAUCCAAUUUAAUUCGAUAUGAUCAAUCCAAUUAAAAUAAAAAUUUACAAAUAAAAAUCAUUAGUUGCUCUCUCCAGUUAUAAUUCUUAACAAUUAAAAAAAAUACAAAAUAUCAACUCCUUUAAUAUUUCAUGAUUCAUGUACUUUAUUAUCAUAUGGUUGGAAAAAAAAGUUGAAAUUUGAAUAUUAAAAGCAAAUGUUGGUUGCGACCUGCUGUUUGUAUUCUAUAUUGUUAUAGUAUAUUUAUAGUUAUUUUUUUAGCAAGUUAAAUAUAAAAGUGACAUAUAGUUUUUUUUUAUAAAAAAAAAUAAAUAAAGAAAAUAAAAAAUUAAUUGGUUGGAUUGGUUUAUAUUGGAUUUGAACAUAUAGAUCCAUAGACCAAUCUAAUAACAUUAUAUUUUUUAUUUUGCAAUCUUAUCCAAUCCAAUCAAAAUGUCAAUAUGACAAAAGUUGGAUUGGUUUUGAUCAGAUCGAUUGGUUUGAUUGGAUUGAAUUGAAUUAGAUCUUGAACAUCCUACCAAUUAGACUUUCCGUGAUUUUUUUUUUUCCAAAUUUAAUAAAGAGACUUCCCAUGAAUGUUAAAUGCAGUUUUAUUGAUGAAUUCUGCAAUUUUAAGAAAUGUUUGAUACACGAAUAAUGCAUCUCAUCAACCAAGUAACUGCGUCCCCUGCAGCAGCCGCGGCUUCAACUGGAAUACUGCAGCCACACCGGUCUUGAGACUCAACAUUCGGCCGAAACUCAAGCAAAAGUUGAACAAUAUCAGGCCUGCUUUGAGCUAUAGCAAUAUGAAGCAAUGUUUGUCCCUGCGCACCAGCAGAAUCAGCUGGGUGGGUUCCAAGCAGGGUCACUCUGUUCAAGAACCUCUCUUAUCUCAUCCAUUUCACCAUCCUUAACUAGCUGAACCACAACAUGGGACCCAACAAACAUGAUCUUGAUUCCUAUUGAUGAACGCUGGCUUCUUCCUUCUUGUGAACCAGUCACCAGGAACCGAAUCAAGCAUCAAUGUUGCAUCUUUAAUUGCAGCUGCAGGAACGACAACGCUAUGCAAGAGGAAGGAAUCAUCACAGUGAGGGAAAGUAUGAAGGAGAACUGAUCCUGGAGGAAGAUGAUACGCAAUCUCUAUGCUUACUGUUCCGAGUGGUUGCAUUGACCUGAAUAGUUCGAUCUAUUUCUCGUGUAUCUACUUGCGCUGCACUUUCACUCGAAGAACCUACAAAAUUAUUCAUAACCCGGCAUAAAAAAGACGUAAAGUUUUCAGCGCGAGCAUGGUAACUUCAAAACCCGUUUCAUACCUAUCAUAUUUCAUUCGUCCCGCACCCUCAUUUAAAAGACUAGAGCUUAUAAAAACUAGAAGUACCUUACCCAGAACAUAAAAGCAGACAAAACCCAGUCGAGUAUAAAUAUAACGUUGAAUAACACCUACCAUUUACCAUUUCAUUCAAGAACACCACACAAUUAACGAAACCAACAUCGGUAUGUUUUCAGCCGUUGUACUUUCAACUUAAUUUUGAAAGCGCGGCAGCUAAAGCCUAAACUGUUGUUUGAUAAAAGUCCACCCACUGACUGCUACCUGGCGGCUACCGAUUCCAUUCAAUAGCAGUCAUAAAAUAAAAAGUACAAAACAAACCUAUGUACAAAAAAGGCAAUGAAGCAGCCAUGGAUUCAGUUAUUUGCAUGUUUGGGAUUGUGGUUGAUUCCAAAUUGAGAAUAUACUGCGAAAUUAUGUUUGAUAAGCAUUUAUCUGAUGAUUGCUACUUUAUUGAGUGCCUGUUUGGUAUGGCUUAUUUAAAAGCCAUAAGUGCUUAUUUAAUCGUAUAAGCACUUUUUUAAAAUUUUUAUGGUGUUUGGUUAUUUUUUUAGUAGAGUUUUUUUAGCUUAAAUAAGCUAAUUUACCUCUACUAGCAAAAGCCCAAAAUUUGAGCUUUUGGGAGUAGAGGUUAAAGAGCUUAUCUAAAAAAUAUAUAAUAAAAAAAAUAUCAUACAGUUUAAUGAUUCAAAAGUGUUUUUUUUAUUGACAACCAAACACCCAAUGACUUUUUGUCCAAAAACUCUAUUGGUAUAAGCUCUACUGCUAUAAGCUCUAUUGUUAUAAGCUCUAUUUAAUAAGCUGUACCAAACGGAGCCUAAAGCAUUCAUUUUUUUUUUUCGCGUUUGGCCUCUUCACUUUUUAAAAAAUUUUAUGGUGUUUGGUUAUUUUUUUAGUAGAGUUUUUUUAGCUUAAAUAAGCUAAUUUACCUCUACUAGCAAAAGCCCAAAAUUUGAGCUUUUGGGAGUAGAGGUUAAAGAGCUUAUCUAAAAAAUAUAUAAUAAAAAAAAUAUCAUACAGUUUAAUGAUUCAAAAGUGUUUUUUUUAUUGACAACCAAACACCCAAUGACUUUUUGUCCAAAAACUCUAUUGGUAUAAGCUCUAUUGUUAUAAGCUCUAUUUAAUAAGCUGUACCAAACGGAGCCUGAGUCUUCAAAGAAAAACUCAAUCAACUAAUGCUCGAUUUUUUUUUUUAAAUGACAAAUCAAAAAGUAUUUUGGAGUAGAUUCUCAAAAGAGUGAUUAUUUGAUAAUCCACCAUAAUCCCACUUAGUUAUCAGAAAUAAAUUAAAAUCCGACGAAUGUUACUUAAGCCAAACAGCAUUAUUUUAUUUUGACCACAAGGACCACAACCCUCAAGCUGUCAAGCAACCGUUACCGUUAACGACCAAUCUUUCACCUCUCCGAAUCUUUGCAAGUCACUAUCAAGCAACCGUUACUAAUAUUUAAUCAAUUAUUAGGAUUAUUGGAUUUCUCAAAUACCUUAUGUACUUUGGUUCACUUUCUACUAAAAUAAAUAUUACAGGAGCUUUCAAAGUCUAGGCUAAGGUUGUUGUAAACAUAGAGAGAUUCAGAGAUAUAACAGCUUGUAAUUACAUACCACAAAGCAUAACUUUGUUCGAAUGAUAAUGAUCAUAAUCCAGAUUAUAGACGUAGAGAGAGGAGAAGUCGUACUUGAGGGGCAAAACGCGGCGUUUUGGCUCGUGGAUGAGGUGCUGCUCCUGAUCGUCGUAGAUUGAAGGGAGGAGAGGUCGGUCGAGGAAGUUUAGGAGACGGUGGAGGCUGAAUUGGUGAAUUUCGAUGAAGACUGACGAAUCCAAUGGGGCUUGAGGGUUUGAUUUGCAAAGAUGAAAGAUAAGAGCAUUGUUUUGGUUUCUGUGCAAAAAAAAAAAAAAAAAACAUGACAAGCGUUGUUUUGGUUUUGGUUCUAAAAAGAUGAAAAUUUGACUGCAAUGGAUCCAUACGCAGUCGGUGUCAAAUAAGAGGAGAAACAAAUAUGUUAAUCACUCGCUCAAUCACUCAUGCGAAGUGCCUUUUUUUUCGUUGCUUUGGCUUCUGAGAAAUAUAUGCAUCAGAUAUUACAACUCUCGAGGAUAAUGCAUUUUGUUCCGGUUUUGACUGAUAUUUAGUGGCAUUUGAUAAACUGAUACCUCAGAACCUGGUAGAGAGUUUAUUAAAUACAAAGAGAACAAAAAUAUAUGACUAUAUAAGCUUUUACACGGUUGAAGAUCCGGUCAAAUUGGCUUUAGUUAGCAAGAUCAUUUAAAACUUUCAAAAAACGAAUGGUAUCAAAAAGCUCUGAGAAAAAGCGGAAAAAAGGCACCACAAAGAUCUUGCAAUUAUUAUCACAGCUUGAUAAGACAUGGAAAUGUAUCUUACAAAUUGGCCUUCCAAGCAUCAAAGAAUUGGGUGGCGACAACUCCCAUUCCUAGCUGCUACCGUGGCCAGUCCCUUCUAACUAAAAUGGGACAGGACCAAAAGCAAGGUCUCUCCCACUCUCCUUAUGUAUAUAAAAUUCCCUACAUUCGAAUAAAACUACAGAAAAAGAUUUGCACAUCAUCUUCUUUCACCUUAUUUUGCAAUCUUCAAGAGUUUGGAAGAUUUCAAAGCACUUGUUAGAAUGUAGCACUCCAUUAAGCAUUCUCACCUUCCCCACACCCCAAUGGACCUCCUUAAUCCUAUCGGCAGACCUACAAAUUCUGCUGCAACUCCAAUCAAAUAAAGCAACACAAUUGUUGCCUGCCUAAGCCUUCCACUCACAGCCUGCAAUGACAAGUUCAUGAUACAAAAUCAGAAACAUUAAUAAACAAAAAGAUAUUACCAUUACUUGCAGAGGGGGAUUUGUUGCAAUUAGUAAAUGCCAUACUUAUCACUUUCAUUGCAGAUAUCAUCAUCAUCAUAAUACUAGCAAUCCAGCACUAAUAGUCAGAAUAAUAAUAAUAGUAGCAUGAAUAAAGAAUUUCUGCAGAGUAAGCUCUAAAGAUGCCGAAAGUGUCAUCUAUUAUGUUAAUAAUAAAAAAGUCUAUCAAGAAUUCAAGGAAAGAAAACUCAUUAACAAAGAACUAAACUUUUUAAUAAUGUUUAAUAAACUACGUACCUAUGAUUUUCUAUUAUUAACAUAAAUGACACUACGUACAACUGAUUUUCGCUUUCUAAUGUUUCAAAUCAUACCGAGAAAUAUAACAAUUACCAAGUCAGUAAGUAGCACAAUUACUUAAUAAGACUUUGACUUGUCUAACCCAAAAUUGUACCCAAUUCUAUACUCUACCAUGAAAAGCUUAUGAAGCCGAACUUACUUUGACCAAACAGUACUAUUAGCUCAGUUAAAGGAAACCACAAUUGAACAAAGUUCAGCUGAAAUAACUGAACUAAAAAAACUUGAUAAAAUUAAAAGUAACUUAUAACAGUUUAGUAAAGAAGCAUACAAAACAUGAAGAUAAAUAAACAUAGGUCUAUUUUCUUGACACUACCAGGUCCUUUCCUUUUUUUUUUUUCAGAUAAGAUCUCGAUACUACCAAGUUUUGGAUUCAAAAUCACCAUAUUACAAUAAUAGUUGUGAUUCAUGGGAUACAAUAUGUAGCAGCUUAUAUGUCGGCAAUUAUAGUCAAAGAUGGUUGUCAAACAUCAUCGCAAAUCAAGAAGCUAAUAAAGACCAUGUCACACUACAUUAACAUAUAUCAGUUCUUUGAUACAAAGAUAUUGAAUGUUAUACAUUUCUAAUCCCAAGUCCUGAAAUACAAAACAAAAGUUCACUUCACACAGUCAUAAAGCUAGACUGCUAGAUAAAUGGACAAUAGGCAUUGGAUAUGGGUCAAUAAACUAUUAAGCUAAUUAAUGCACACGAAGGAAUCCGUUAGAGCUAGUAAAAUAGCCCUUACCAGAGAACUCGCAGAAGCAUUCAAUUUCCUCAAAGGAGAUAACUUACAACAUAAACAUUUUGAUAAGCAGCAACACACAUAAAAUAGCUUCACUCACUAGCAACAGAGCAACUUCUUCAACACAUUAAUAAAUCCAUUUUCAUUUUUAAACAACAAAAUAAUGCCCAGUUUCUCCAGCACAAAUAGGGUAAGCAGUAAUAGAAAAACAUGAUACAUAGGAAUUACCGGCCUCAAGAAAUCUCCAAGCUUUCUGUCCUCUGCUUCAAUUGCUCAAUCAAGAAUGCCCCAGACGUUGCGCUAGCGUGGUGGUGGAGCGUCGCGAAGCGUGUGGCGGCGGUGUCGGCGAAGGCAGGUCAUGAAGAUAGUUGGUGUCGCGCAGCGAAGGCAGUGCAGCUGGUGUCAUGCGGCGAAGGCAAAUCGCGUGGUGGUGGAGUUGGGGUCGCGCGGCAGUGGCGGUGCGGUGCUGAGGCAUAAUAGUGGCGGUGGCGUUGUGCGACAGUGGCAGUGUGGAGGCAGAUUGCGUGGAGCUGGCGGUGUUGAGGCAGAUCGCGUGGAGGCAGAUGCCGCGGUGGUGGAGUUGCUGUCGCGAUCAACGCCUGUGAAAGGGAAUGAAAGUGAAGGAGAUACCUACAAAAGAAAGAACGAGUGAAAUUUUUUUUUUUGUUCAAGGGUUUCAAACCCACAUAAACCCGACUCUCACACGGGUUCAGUAAGUUUAUGCGGGUUUGACUGCAUUACAAAUUGGUAUGACCACAACAACAGUACAAUGAUUGGUAAUUACCAAACAUGCUAUUUAUGUUGGUAUUAAAUUAAUUUAAUACAAUGAGGAGUGGUAAUAUCAUACAAUGAGGACUGUUAAAUAUGGUGUGUUUAAUAUGUUGUAUUGUAUUAUAUUAUUUUAAUACAAAUAUAUUAUAUUAUCUUGUAUUAUAAUAUAAAAUAAUGAAAAAUAUCGAAUUUCAAUAUAUAAAAAAAAAAUAAAUAUAUUUUGUUAUAUUCGAUCUGCUGUACGGCCAAGGCGGAUGUACGGUACAGCAGAUAAGAAUUUAAAUACAUACACUUAUAAUACAACUUAGUUUUUCCACAUUGUCGAGGGAUCAAAACAACCCAUCAUUGGAGUCCAAUAAGUUAUGUGGCGACACAAAAAAGUAAUUCUAUAUUUUUUACGUCAUAAAUAUGUAAAAAAAAUUGUAUUAUAUCUUAUUAUUAUUAGUUUUUUUUCUUCAGUUUUGACAAGUAUAGUUUUCUUGUUGAGUGGCUCAACAAGGCUGGUUACAAUUUCGAAAUAAUGUUCCAUCUGUAUCUGUUUUCCUUUUGUUUUUGAUUUUGUAGUAUAGUUAAUUUGUACGAAUUUGUUGCCUGGUUGGUUUUUAUGCUGAAAAGUCAGUUCAUUGGAAAUGACAGAAAAUUGUUUUUCUUUUUCAUUUUUACAGAAAGAGAUUUGCAACGUUAUAAAAGUAAGAGAUCCUAAGAGAUCCCUGAAUCAUAUUAAAUAUUAAACUUAAGAUACAGUCAAGGCUUUUAUUAUGUUACUAAUCAUGUAACGAAUAUAAUUAUGUAGCAGUCGUUAAAUACAAAUUUAACAGUUAUAAAAAUAACAUGAUUUUAUUAUCUUAUAUUUCUAUAAUCGUUGAAUUUUUAUCUGCUGUACCGUACAUCCGCCUUGGCCGUACAGCAGUAUUGAAUUUUAAAAAUUUAAUAUUAUUUUUUUAAUAUAAAUAUUAAAAAAUAUCAUAAUUCUUCAUAGAAAUCGAAGUUCAUGGCAUUAAAUUUUUAACGCCGCAUACAUAAUAAAAAAUUUGAUUCUCUAGUGCCAAUAUAAUAGAAUACAUAAAAACGAGACUGAGAAACUACGAAUAAAGCUCAUCAUCAAGGACUCCACAACAUUAUAAGAAGUACUAUGUAACAUUUGCCAAAUUACAACACCACAUCAAGACAUAUCACAAUGUAAAAUUUUUCCUAGAGAUUUGGUAAUUGAAAAACACAAUUCAAGUUGAAAACUGAUAGUCGACUUGAAAAGUUUUAACAUAUCCCAUAAAAGAAAUGUGCCAUGCCAAAAAUCCUAACCCUUGGCUCUUUGACGAUAAGAAAAUAUUGAAAAUUCCAAAGUACAGUGCAAUGGGAGAAAGAAUGCCUAUAAAGCUAGUAAAGAUAUUCUUAAACUACUAUUGGGAUGUUGGGCUGGUUGGUAGCAAAACCCAAACCCUGCUGCUGAUUUCCGAUACCACCAUCUUGGAUAAGCCGCUCUCCCUCCUCUUCCUAACUCCUAAGCCCAAUAUCUUUCCAAAACCUUCACAACCCACUCAUAAAUCUCAUUGUUGUCGUGGAUAUGCAAAUUCUCAAUCUUUUCUACUCCAUCACACUCAUCAAUCAUUUGGGUAUAAACAUUAACCCAAUUAUCCAUUCCUAUUUCCUUGUUAACCUCACCCACCUUGAAAAUGUUCUCAAGACCCUAUAGACAAACUGUGACGAUCCUUUGGUCCAGACAAACCAGAAGAUCACAGAGCGGUUUGAUGCAACCUUGGCUCACCAGGAAUCUGCAGGACCAUGGUACCAUAAGUGAUUCUAUCACAUGAACAUCAUUAGAUUAAAAAAAGAAAAAAAAAAGAAACAUCUAUCGUAUGAACAUUGCUGAGUGAAUAAAAGAAACAUACUGAAUAUGUUCAUGAGAUCCUCCAUAUGUGGCAUUUAAGACAGGCCAUGCAGCCUCCUUGAUUUCAAGUUCUGCAUGUUGAAGAAGAGGUGCACAAAAGGAAGGAUAAGGAAGGAUGAUAUUGGCCUCCAUAACAGCCUGUUGAACAAAAAUUCGACAAAUUAUAAUUAUGAGUAUAUUUAAGUAGCAAUUUUGUCAGAAUUAACUAGACUUGACUAUUGAGGAAGUCACAUUCAAAAAUAGAAAAGACGAGCAAGCAAUUGUAUUCAUGCUAUCGGGACCAAAAUACUAUGAUGCAAGCAAGAAAGAAAAACAUACAUACAUAUAAAACACUAUCUUUGAGUUGGGUAUUUUCUUUCAAUUUUGAUAAUGGCAACUUUGGAUUCUUCUGCUGAAUUACCACCACCACCACACCAUUGUAGUUUCACAUACUAAGAAAAGGCAGGUUCAGCUCCCGUGCAUGCCCAUAAGAAUAUGAUGUAUUAAUUAGAAGUAAAAUUAAUCUGUUCAAUUAAGUUCUCUCAUAUAUUUGUGUGCGUGUGUGUGUUAAUUAGUUUGCUUUCAAAUCUUUUCUCCCUUCUUAAUGAUAUAUAUUUUAAGCAUGAUAUCAACCACGAUGAAUUUAUUAGCCGAUUUUUAAUUAUACAUUCAGCAUGAUAUCACAAACCAAGAGCUUAAGUUAGCCUAAUUCUUCAUAAAUCUAAUAAUUGCAAUCAAUAAUAAUGCUGAAAAUACGAGUUUGAAUUAAGCUAGCAACUGGUUCUUAAAUUAUGCAAUAUGUAAUCAUAGGUUUACUUAAAGAUUAAAGCAUUUCUGCAAUCCAUUGUGCAAAAAGAUUAAAAAAAAAAAAAAUAGUUGCCAAAUUUUAUCUAAAUAAAAAUUCCUUUAGUGGUUAGUACUUGUGAAUUAUAGAAAUUAUUAUUAGUACUUGCUCAGCGCUUUUUAGAUUUGUACAGGUAGAUUACGCCAUUUCAAACCCGACCAUCCAUUUAGACAUACAAAUCCCCCCAAUUCCCUGUCCUCCGCCUUUACGCGACUCUCCACUGUAUGUGCCAACUAAUUAAUUUUUUAAUUACUUGUUUAACUAAUUAAUUCAUUUUCUCAAAAGCAAGAUUAAUCUAUUUGUUCAAAUCUGAAGGAGAUUAAGUUAAUUGAUUUUAUUGUAUGUAAAAAUAUACAAAGAACUCAUGAAGCCAACUAGAAAAAAAAAAAAAGACAAAAAAAAAAUCAAACCCAGAAAUAAAAAGACAUGCUUCGACAGAAAAUUAAUGAAAAUUAUACUGAUUGUGGUUCAAUUUGAUCAAACCCAAAUAAUAACCGGUUUGAUUGAUGACUCAGCGGCAAAGUGCAGGCGCAUCAGUGGUUGCACAGAUGAGUGUUCUCGUGCGGCACGACAAAGCAAUUGUCGGCGAUUGUGAUUGGUGAUGACAUCGAGCGAUGGGGGUAAUGGCAUCGGUCGUGACUUUGUGAUGGAGAAACGAAUGUUAGAUUCGUUCGAAGAUUCGUGUUUUGAUUGAAUAACAAAGAGAGAUUUUAUGAGUUUUAAUUAUCUAAUACGAUACCGCAUAAACCCGACUCGUACGUGGGUUUAUUUUAUGCGGGUUUCGGUGUACUAAAGCAGUAAAUUUAUGUGGUGCAAUUCAAACUGAUUUCACCGCCAAAAGAUCGUGUAAAUUUAAUAUUAUACAGGGUUUUAAUACUAUGUAAUCCAAUACACCAAACAUGCCCUUAAAAACGGAUAGCAAUCCGGGGCCUUUAAAAACGGAAAAUACAAGCAGAGAAAAAGAAAAGCCAAUUGUUCAAAAGUGCCUAAUAUGCCCACGGAAAAUUUUCGUCACGACCCACAGUUACUCGAAUAGGUAAUAAGACAGGAAUGCCUUUGUUUGUUCGAAUAUAGAAGCACAAUGGCUCAGAAAGGAUCCCUCCAAUCUCCUUGGCACUGUCAGCUGGGUGCGGAGUAGCUUGGUGGCAGCAACCAUGUUUGAGAGGGCUGGCUUCACCUCAGUGUACUUGCGAGUCUUGAGACCACAGUCAGGGUUAACCCACAAAAUGUUGGUUUCUAGCACAGUACGCAUCUCGUAGAUUCUGUCAACAAUUUCUUCGGUUGAUGGUAUUCUUGGAGAGUGGAUGUCAUAGACGCCAGGGCCAAUUGCAGCAUCAUACUGGACUCCCUCACGGAAGACUGACAGGAGAUUCUCAUUAGAACGAGAGUUCUCAAUGGUGAUCACAUCAGCAUCCAUGUCGAUAAUUGAGUGGAUAAUGUCGUUGAAGUUGGAGUAGCACAUGUGGGUGUGGAUCUGUCAAUCAAUAAACAAUAGAAUGAGAUACAAAAUCAACAGCUAAAUUAAAGAGAUGAGAUUGGAGAUUAAAAGGGUAACUGACCUGGGUAGUGUCCUGGAUGCCACAGUUGGUGAUUCUGAAGGAGUGGACUGCCCAGUCCAAGUAGAAAGCAUGCUCAGAUUUCCUGAGAGGCAAUCCUUCCCUCAAGGCAGCCUCAUCAAUUUGAAUAACGUUAAUGCCUGCCUUCUCAAGAUCCUCGACUUCGUCCUUGAUGGCCAAAGCAAUCUGGUAGCAGGUUUCAUGUCUGCAAAAUUGGCAGCGAUUGAUGUUAAACAAUGUUUCCAUUCCAAAAGGUUAACCAAUAGUGAACCAGUUCUCAUUUAUAUACCUGGGCUGGUCAUUUCUGACAAAGGACCAGUUGAGAAUGGUGACAGGGCCAGUAAGCAUUCCCUUCAUUGGGCGAGCAGUCAUGCUCUGAGCCCAGGAGGACCAGAAGACGGUCAUAGCCUUGGGACGGCUCACAUCACCAUAGAUGAUGGGUGGCUUCACACAGCGAGAUCCAUAGGAUUGCACCCACCCAUUGGCAGUGAAGGCGAAACCUGAUAACUGCUCUCCAAAGUACUCAACCAUGUCGUUUCUCUACAAAAACAAAUGUCCGAAUUCAAUUUGAGAUCCAGCAUACUUCGUAUGCAAUUAGAAAUGCAGAAACAAAAAUGUAUAAAAUUUUAUGUAAUUCAAAACCAGGAGACAUUGCUUUGCUUCCAUUGGGCAUUGCGAGACUCACCUCAGGCUCUCCAUGGACAAGGACAUCAAUAUCAAGCUCUUCUUGGAGUUUGACAACCUUGUUGAUUUCCUCCUUGAUGGAAGCAACAUAUUCUUCCUCAGAAAUCCUAAAAAGGACAAAUAGUCACGGCACAGUUAAUACAGUAGUUGCAGUAAUUUCACACAUGGCAUUGAAUGAAGAAACACCUCAGAUUGACUCACUUCUUAGCCUUGUAUUCACGGCGGACUCUCCUAAGUUCAAUGGUUUGUGGGAAGGAUCCAAUUGUGGUGGUUGGGAGGAUUGGAAGAUUGAGCUUCUUCUGUUGAGCAUCUAAUCUAGCACUAACGUUUGUAGCACGUCUGUGGUCUGAUCCCCUCAAAGCAGCAGCCUAAUAGACCAAGAGGAAGGAAUCACUGUUAGCAAAAAAGGAAAUUCUAAGGGACAGCCACAUCAUAAAAAUGGAAAACAAAUCAAUCAUGCCACUUACAGCCUUUUGAACUGCCUCAUUGGUCACUCUCGGGGAGGACUUUCUUGAAGCCUGAGCUGCAGCAUUGGCAGAGAAGAAUCCCUGGAAACAAAUGAUAAGGAGAACCAAAGUUAGUCUCAUUCAUAUCAUUUUAAAAAGAAGAUACAUAUGCAAUUAGUGGGCUGAUUGUGAGAGAAAAAGUCCCCAAAACUUUAAUCAAACACCAAAUGCCCAAGUUGCCAAAUGAUGUUUAAUUCGGAAAAAUAUAUUUAAAAACAUUCAAAUAUAAUUUCCCCUUCUAAAUUUUCAUUUUCAACAACAUAUUUUACAAGCCAAGCUCAACGUCAGGCCAAGAUUUUGUGCUCCUAUAAUUAUAUUUUACCAUAAAACUAGGUCCUUGAAAGGCUAAGAUUUUCUGACUCUUGUGACUAGUCAAAGCCUAAGAUUCUUUCAAUUCAUCCGUAGUAAAAGUAUACCUCAUCCUUUUGGCCAGCCAAAGCCUUGGCCAAUGCAUUGACUUCAACAACUUUCUGGGCAGCAAAUGCCAGCCAUGACUUGAUUUCGUCGUCGAGUUUGUUCUCAUUAACAAGAUCAACAGCAGUGUGAAGAAGUGAGCAGGAGGUGGAGACCACAAGCUUGUCUGCAAAGAAAAGUAAUAAAUUAUACAACAAAUCCCAUAAUAGAAUAAGAAAUAUUUAUCACAAAGAAAAAUGCAAGCAAAGGAUGUAUACCUUUGCCAACAACACCCUCAAGCCCCCGGAGAACACUAAGAGAAGCAGCAAGAUCAUUGGCCCAAAUGUUCCUUCCAUCAACCACUCCAGCAAAGAGGUACUUGCCAGCAGGGAAUCCACUCUUGAUCAAUUCAAGGGUCUUGGUUCCACGAACCAAAUCAAAUCCAUAAGCGGUGACACCCUUCAAAGAAGUGAGGGUCUGGAAUGCCUCAGCUGGAACAUCAGCAAAGUAGGUCUCAACAAGAACAUUCAAGCCAGACAGAGUUGACUCUAGUUCCGCGUAAGCCUCACUGAAUGCUUGCAAUUUGUGUGAGUCAAGAUCCGUAACAAGCAAUGGCUCAUCAAACUGAAUCCAGGAAGCACCAGCAGCCUUAAGCUCAGAAACAACUUCCCUGCAGAAGUGUUAAUUGGUACGACACGGAUUAAUGAUGCCACACGAUACACACACACACACACACACACACACACACACACACACACACACACACACACACACACACACACACACACACACACACACACACACACACACACACACACACACACACACACACACACAGACAGAGUUAUUUAGCACAUACACGUUUAUAAAUCUGUAAAUAGGUGAUAAUUCUUACUUGUAGAUCGGAAGGAUUUUGGGAAGAAGAGAGAGAACAGAAAAGGUCUUCUCAACCCCCCAGGCAGGCUUAGACAGCAACAAGUAUGACACAGGGCCAAUAAGCACUGGGACAGUUUCAACUCCAUGCUGCAGCAUUAGACAAGUGGUAGAUAUUAGCAUCUCACAAACUUGAUCUGACUGAUAGAAAGUUACAAGCAAGUUAAGAAUAUGUUUGAUGAAAUUUCAAUGAAAAAUCUUCAGGGUCCACAACAUGUUGACUAUACCCUUUUUAAGUAAUUUAUCUUAAGACUAUUUUGCAAACAGUAUUGCUUCCCUUUACAGAUCAAAUAAAUCAUACAACAUCUGAACGCAUUUCCUGAGCCAAAUAUAAGUUCAAAGCUCUAUAAUAAAUGUCAAUGACUCUAUAGUAAAUUCCAUCACAUUCUGAGCUAUGGAUGAGCAUAUCAUAUGCCAAUUUCAAGUUGAACGUAACCCAAUUUCAACAUAUUGUAGAUUCAAGUAUCAAACGAAAAAAAAAAUAUUGUAAAUAUAGACAGAACUGAGAACAAACACUCACCCCCUUAGCCUCCUUGUACUCAGUCACAGCCUUGUGGGAAGCGUAGGAGAACUUAACAUCGGGUCCCAAUUCAGGAACAAUGAAAUGACUGCAUCAACACGAAGCCAAACACACGUCAGCAUUCAGUACAAAACCAUUACACCAUAACUAACUUGAAAUGCCGCUCUUCCAAGUAGUGAAUACUUACUAGUUGGUGUCGAACCACUUGGUCAUUUCCAUUGCGAGAACAGAGGCGUUUCCUCUGGCCAUGGAGAAGUAAACAUCGAAUCCAAUCUCGCCGCCGUUCCAGUUAAACCUCGGGGGCACGGCACCGAGCAUUGCGGUGGUGUCGAGCACUUGGUCGUAGUAGGAGAAAGUGUUGCUGGGAAUGUAUUUGAUCCCGGCCUCGGACAUCUGUUUCCAGAUGGAGGAUCUGAGAUCAGCGGACACCUUUUGCAAAUCCUCGGCGCUGCUCUUGCCAUCCCAGAAGGAUUCCAACGCGAACUUGAGCUCCCUCUUGGGGCCCAUGCGUGGGUAACCAACGAUGUGAGAUGCCAUUUUACUGUCAUAAUCACGUCAUCAAUGAAUCGAAAAUCAGUCCCUUCCAUUAAAUCAAGAAAUUAUUAAUUCAAAUGAAUGGAUCACAUUGUAUAUAUAUGGGAUAAAUAUAAUUAUGAACAAAAGCGUCUAAUCAAUCACAAAAAGCAAGCGACUGCAUCAAAUUUAGGGAUCCGACCCGACCCGACCCGAUCUGUAAAUUCCGGUUUCAAUCGGAUUAAGAUGAAACCUCUAACCCGAUAUAGUUGGAUUUUGGCCAACUCGAUCGGAUCAGAUCGGAUCGGAUUAAACUUAGUCCAAUCCGAAAAAUUCAAAAAAUCAAAACUACAAUAAGUAUAAAUCUAAAUUUUCAAUUCAAUUUGAUCUAAUCUGAAUAUAUUCGAAUCGGAUCAAAUACUAUGCUCUGCUUAAACUUGGAUUAUAUUUUUUUCAAUUUGAUUAACCUAAAAUUCGAUUGGAUAGAUCCAAAACUGAAUUUAUCUACCCCUCAGUCAUCAAUCAAUUACAAAACCUAAAAUCCGAUUGGAUAGAUCCGAAACUGAAUUUAUCCACCCUUAAGUCAUCAAUCAAUUACAAAGGCGACUGAUGUUUAUACAAUGGACAAUUAUUAAGUUACAGCUCUUGUAAUUUACAACUUAUACAAAAAUAUGUGAAAAAUUGUGAUAGGCAGUACAGUGUCAUGAUUUUAUACAAAAAUAUGUAAACAAUUGUGAUAGACGGUAGAACCUCAUGAUUUUAUAAAAAAUACGUAAAAAGUUGGGAUAAGUAAUGGAGCCCGCAUAAUUUUUUAUCAGCUGCAAGUUGCAAGUUACAGCAACUGUAACUUAGCGACCCCGACUUCAAUGUAAAAUGAGAAAGUACUCCUCCGCAUAGUACCUGAUGCUCAAAAGUCAAAUCACACGAAAUGCAAAUAGACUUAUCAGAGCAUAAAACCUUAUAUUACUUUUUGAAAAACGAUUUGAAACAAGGGCAAAAUUACAGUGUAACCGUACUUAGUCAUUGAAUUCAGCUCACAAUUAUCAUUAUAGUUAGAUCUAAUAACUAGAUCCAACUGUAUCCACAGUUAUAUUGUAGUUAGAUCUGAUAACUAAAUCCAGAUCCAGCUGUCCCCACAAUUGUCAUUAUAGUUAGAUCUAAUAAUUAGAUUCGGCUGAUUCAGCUGUGAUGUAGUACCCUGUAGUGCCAUAACUGGACAAAGAAACAAACUGAUAUAUUUUCUUUUUUGAAACAAACUGAUACUAAUCCAAGAGUUUCAGAUGAUCGGUUUUUUUUUUUUUUUCUAUAGUCACAUCAAUAAUUAAGUACUUUCAGUCAUUUUCGAAGGAUUAAAACGAAAACUCUAAAAAAAUUCUGAGAAUGAAGAAUCCGAAAAUAGAUUCAGAAAUAGUAACACAAGUAGAGGUCAGAUUGUUUUUUGGAAAAGAUUAAUUGCAGAUCUGAUGAACUCAAGUCUAGAUCUAGCAAAAUCACGGCAGCCAAACACUAGAUCUAAGACUAACAGUCACUCACCAGUCGAUCAGAAAGUGAAAUCAAGUUCAAAAUUCUUUUUUUUUAAUAGAUCCAAAAGCUAAUAUACAUAUAUAUAUGGCAAAAUAUAUAUACCGUACCCGAGAAGGACGAGCAGAGAAAUUAAGCUUUUUUCGAGAGAACGAGAAAGAAGAGAGACGAGACUGUUAGAAAUUGCUGUCAGUUUAAUUUUUAUUUAUAGCCAAAAACCUAACCUUGUUUAGUGGUUACUGGUUACCGUCUUCGGCGGUGUUGAUCUGAGAUUUAUCAUUUUAAUUUCUUUCUCUUACUUAUUUAUUUAAUUUGGGUCCAACUACGGUGAAACUGUAGUACCGUGCUACAGUUAUUUUCAACCGUUUGAUUCACUUGGAUGGUGGGAUCCAAUAAAAUCCAAUAACUGGGUGCAACCGUAGCACGGUGCCGCAGUUGCACCACAGUUUUUCCCAUUUAUUUAUUAUGCUUUCAGUGCAGUUGGCAAAAACAUGGAGCUUACGCGCGCUUUUCUGAUGUGGCGCGUGAAUUGGAAAUGUGGUAGAUCUUUGUGGAUCCGCCGGUGCAGUGAAGAGUGAAGGAAAAAAGAGAAAAGUUAUCAUGCCAGAUCAUUUGAAGAGAGCCGCAAUUAGUAAUUACACCACAAUAUAUUUCUGAUUAUUUGCUUACUUUGAUGAUGUUUUUACUGAUUAGUAAUUGGAAUAUGUUAGAAUCUAAAUAUAGUAGAAUCAUAAUAGAGUUGAAUCAAAAUAGACUAUAAUUAGAAUGGAUAAUGGGAAUUAGAAGAAUUAUUUGCUUUAGUUGUGAGAAUCCAAAUUGGAAUGAACUAUAUUGUCGUUGAUAUGUUUACUUUAUCAUAGAAUAUGAAUGAAUUAUUACAAGUUACUAAACAGACCUUAAGUUGAUUAUUGUCAUUAUUUAUUUAUUUAUUAUUAUUAUUAUUAUUAUCAUCAUCAUCAUCAUCAAAAUUAUUAAUCUUAUUAUUAAUGUUAAUUAUAAUAAUUAAUAAUUAUAAUAGUAUUAUAAUAAUAAUAAUAAUAAAAGCAAUCAUAAAAUGAGAAUUUCAAGAUUUAAGUAGAGAUAAUAUAAUUAUUUUAGAAAAUGAGAAUUUCCAUGAGAAUGUGAACUCUAUUAAUCAUUCCCAAUUUGAAGUGGGGCCUGCCAUUUUGAUUCAAUCUCUCAUUUAAGCAAGUAAAUACGACAUUUAUUCUCAUUCCCUCAUUCCCACUCUCAGGUAGCGUUUGUUUUUUAACUUAAUGACUUAAAGUGACUUAACUUAAUUAAUUAAGUUAAUUAGAGGUGUUUAUUUUUAUAACUUAAUGAGACUUUUUAGAUAAUUUUGACUUAAUAAAAUGAGCCAAUUUUUUUUGGCUUUUUACUUAAUGGAGAAAUUUGAAUUUAGUCAAUUACUUACUAAUGUCAAAAAUAUCUAUGUUUUAUAAUUUAUUUUUCAUGUCUAUCCCAAAACUCACCCAUAGACAUUUACCCCACAUAAAAAUAUCCCUAUUUUUUCUUUCUUAUAUUAUAUACGAUAAAAUUUGAAAUUUAUGGUAUUUUAUAUAUUAAAAUUCUAAAAUAAUUAUGUAUUCACUUGAAUAUAGUUUUACUUAUAACUGUUAAAAUAUUGUGGUAUUUAAUAUAUUAUUUAUUUGACAUUAAAAUUUAAUAAGGAUACAAAUGUAAAAGUACAUAUUUUCAGUUUUUUCAGUUAAAAAAAAAGCAACUUAAUACUUAUUUUUCGAGAUUCAGACGAAAAAAUAAACAUAUUAUUCAUAUUCAGACAUUUAGAUAUAUUCAGAAUUCAAACUAAUUCAGGUCUAUUCAGAUUUUAGACAAAAAAAACAAACGCCACCUCAAUCAAUAAACACACCAUAAAUGUAGAGUUGUUACUAUUAGAAUACAUUAUAAUUCAUCACAAUUAUGAUAGGUAUAUACGUGUGUAAUAAUUUAUAUAAGAUGCUAAAUUUUGAAAAUAAUAAAAAAUCAUUUAUACAUAUUUAAAAAAAUCAUUAAUACAUUAAAAUGUGCAUCACAUAUACAUUUACAUAAUAGCAAUGACCAUAGUAUAAAAAAAACUCCUAAAAGAGAACGACUUCGUUAUUUAUGUUAUUUUAUAUAUUUUUAAUUGAUUAUUAAAAGGAUCAAUUGUUAAUUAUUAUUCUCCAAACAUAAUCACCGUUAAACAUUUAUUCAAUUUAACAAUAGGUAGAUGUUAAAUAAUAUUGGAAUAUUUAAUGAACAAUAUAAUCACUAUUGCAGUUGUUUUUUUUUUUUAGUAAUGGAUUAUUCGAAACUCAAAUUCAUUUUUUAGCCCCCUUACCUCUCUUAAAAUUCAAAUUUAAGUGACUAAACAAAUAAAACUGCUUAAAAUCUAUACGACUACAUCUUUGGGGACCAAUUAAUAUGGAUGUUUAAAUCUUGAUUUAUUAUUAAAUCUUUGAGUUUCAACCACUAAUAACAUCAUCAUCGAUUAAUGACAAAUAAAAUAAUACAUCAUCAAAACCAUUAAACACGUCCAUCAAUAUCAAAAACAAGUAAAAAGUUUAGCAUGUAUUUCAAAUAUACUUUUCAUCCCAAAAGUUGUAGAGAAAGUCUCGAUAUCAAUGUCACUAUGAGACGUAAUUUUAUAUUUAAAGUCAGCGCAACUUAAAAAUUACUAUGAAUGAAUAAUACACCAUAAAAAAAUUAUUUAUAAGUAUUUUCAUCAUGUAUUUUUAUUUAACAAUGGUGACAUUUAUUUUUUAACUUAAUGACUUAAAGUGGCUUAACUUAAUUAAUUAAGUUAAUUUUAGGUGUUUGUUUUUAUAACUUAAUAGGACAUUUUAGAUAAUUUUGACUUAAUAAAAUAGGCCAAUUUUUUUUAACUUUUUACUUAAUAGAGAAAUUUGAAUUAAGUCAGUUACUUUCUAAUGUAAAAAAAUAUUCCUACUUUAUAAUUUAUUUUUCAUGCAUAUUCAAAAACUCACCCAUAGAUAUUUACCCCACAUAAUCUCAUCUUUAUUUUCUUCCAGCCGUCAUGGAAUCCCUCCUCACUUUGCUUCUCUCCUCUAGUUCUUGAAUCUCCCUUUAAUUUCUCGCUAGGCAAAGCACUUGAAUUGGGCUUUUUUUUUUUCCUUUUCAAUUACGUUUUCCAACAUUCACUUAUAUAAUAAUCAACUAGUUGCUACUCUUUUUAGUGAUAAAAUUUGAAAUAUGGUAUUUUAUAUAUUAAAUUUUCAAAAUUAUGUAUUCACUUAAAUGUAGUUUUACUUAUAAAUAUUAAAAUAUUAUGUUAUUUAAUAUAUUAUUUAUUUGACAUUCAAAUUUAAUAAGGAUAUAAAUGUAAAAGUACAUAUUUUUAAUUUUUUAAGUUGAAAAAAUAACUUAAUAUUUAUUUUCAGAUAUUCAAAUAAAAAAUAUAUUAUUUAAAUUCAAAAAUUUAAAUCUAUUCAAAAUUUAAAGUAAUUCAGGUCUAUGCAUAUUUCAAUCAUAAAAACAAAUGCCACAUGAGUCAUUCAAUUUCUAAUUAAGAGGAUAAAAAAUAGAUUUGGACUAUCCUAAGACAAAAACAAAAAAAAAAACAAAAAUAAGAUUUCCUAAUAAGUGUACUAACGUGGUCACGCGCCUUGAGAAACGCUUGGACCUAACACACUAUUUUAAUCCGAUAUGCAAAAAAAGAAAAAAAAAAAAAAGGAAAAAUUAUGAGAUGUAUAAGUUUCUAGAGACGUGUUAAAUUUUGAUGAAACAAUGAAGAAAGUCGGUGGCCGAAGUUGGUAUGGGGCAAUGCGAAUGGUGGUUGGCCCACGUUGCCCUGUAAUUGGAGUUGUUAUAAUUUUUCUUAUAAUUAAUAGGACUUGACACAGACUGCAGCAUCAGCCGUUGGAUGUGGAGGGAGAAACUAAACAAUAGAAAACCGUAUGGUGGGAUGACGGUAGAUGUUUGUUACAGAAACUGUACCAUAGACAGGUCCUAAUUAAUAAGCUCUACGUUUUGAAACAAUAAAUAAACUCCAGAUGACCAAAAUAUCAUUUCAUACUGCUACCUAGACAUCUUGGCGAGGGUGGGUAAUGUGGGGCCCGGAGCUUGUUUGAUCGUCAAUUAUUCUCUGGUUUGGUGAAACGAAUGGACGGACGAUGGUGAUGGCUUUUAGGAGAUUAGUAUUAUUAUUAUUAUUAUUAUUAUUACAUUGAGAUCGUAAAACAAAAAAUUCAAUUAAUAAUAUAAAAUAUUUAUUUAAUUUAUUAAUUAUUAUAUAUACACAAUAAAAAAAUUUAUAUACAUAUUUAUAAAUGUGUAAAUAAAUUUCAUUCAAUAUUAUAUCCAAUUAAUCAUUUAUAUUUUUCUGCUGUACCGUACAUCCGCCUUGGCCGUACAGCAGUAAAGCUGCUGAUGCUUUAUCGCGAAUUCAUGAGGAAAAUGUGAUUGAAGAACCCAAACCAACAACUCUUUGUUUGUCGUUAGACAUUUACCCCACAUAAAAAUAUCCCUAUUUUUUCUUUCUUAUAUUAUAUACGAUAAAAUUUGAAAUUUAUGGUAUUUUAUAUAUUAAAAUUCUAAAAUAAUUAUGUAUUCACUUGAAUAUAGUUUUACUUAUAACUGUUAAAAUAUUGUGGUAUUUAAUAUAUUAUUUAUUUGACAUUAAAAUUUAAUAAGGAUACAAAUGUAAAAGUACAUAUUUUCAGUUUUUUCAGUUAAAAAAAAAGCAACUUAAUACUUAUUUUUCGAGAUUCAGACGAAAAAAUAAACAUAUUAUUCAUAUUCAGACAUUUAGAUAUAUUCAGAAUUCAAACUAAUUCAGGUCUAUUCAGAUUUUAGACAAAAAAAACAAACGCCACCUCAAUCAAUAAACACACCAUAAAUGUAGAGUUGUUACUAUUAGAAUACAUUAUAAUUCAUCACAAUUAUGAUAGGUAUAUACGUGUGUAAUAAUUUAUAUAAGAUGCUAAAUUUUGAAAAUAAUAAAAAAUCAUUUAUACAUAUUUAAAAAAAUCAUUAAUACAUUAAAAUGUGCAUCACAUAUACAUUUACAUAAUAGCAAUGACCAUAGUAUAAAAAAAACUCCUAAAAGAGAACGACUUCGUUAUUUAUGUUAUUUUAUAUAUUUUUAAUUGAUUAUUAAAAGGAUCAAUUGUUAAUUAUUAUUCUCCAAACAUAAUCACCGUUAAACAUUUAUUCAAUUUAACAAUAGGUAGAUGUUAAAUAAUAUUGGAAUAUUUAAUGAACAAUAUAAUCACUAUUGCAGUUGUUUUUUUUUUUUAGUAAUGGAUUAUUCGAAACUCAAAUUCAUUUUUUAGCCCCCUUACCUCUCUUAAAAUUCAAAUUUAAGUGACUAAACAAAUAAAACUGCUUAAAAUCUAUACGACUACAUCUUUGGGGACCAAUUAAUAUGGAUGUUUAAAUCUUGAUUUAUUAUUAAAUCUUUGAGUUUCAACCACUAAUAACAUCAUCAUCGAUUAAUGACAAAUAAAAUAAUACAUCAUCAAAACCAUUAAACACGUCCAUCAAUAUCAAAAACAAGUAAAAAGUUUAGCAUGUAUUUCAAAUAUACUUUUCAUCCCAAAAGUUGUAGAGAAAGUCUCGAUAUCAAUGUCACUAUGAGACGUAAUUUUAUAUUUAAAGUCAGCGCAACUUAAAAAUUACUAUGAAUGAAUAAUACACCAUAAAAAAAUUAUUUAUAAGUAUUUUCAUCAUGUAUUUUUAUUUAACAAUGGUGACAUUUAUUUUUUAACUUAAUGACUUAAAGUGGCUUAACUUAAUUAAUUAAGUUAAUUUUAGGUGUUUGUUUUUAUAACUUAAUAGGACAUUUUAGAUAAUUUUGACUUAAUAAAAUAGGCCAAUUUUUUUUAACUUUUUACUUAAUAGAGAAAUUUGAAUUAAGUCAGUUACUUUCUAAUGUAAAAAAAUAUUCCUACUUUAUAAUUUAUUUUUCAUGCAUAUUCAAAAACUCACCCAUAGAUAUUUACCCCACAUAAUCUCAUCUUUAUUUUCUUCCAGCCGUCAUGGAAUCCCUCCUCACUUUGCUUCUCUCCUCUAGUUCUUGAAUCUCCCUUUAAUUUCUCGCUAGGCAAAGCACUUGAAUUGGGCUUUUUUUUUUUUCCUUUUCAAUUACGUUUUCCAACAUUCACUUAUAUAAUAAUCAACUAGUUGCUACUCUUUUUAGUGAUAAAAUUUGAAAUAUGGUAUUUUAUAUAUUAAAUUUUCAAAAUUAUGUAUUCACUUAAAUGUAGUUUUACUUAUAAAUAUUAAAAUAUUAUGUUAUUUAAUAUAUUAUUUAUUUGACAUUCAAAUUUAAUAAGGAUAUAAAUGUAAAAGUACAUAUUUUUAAUUUUUUAAGUUGAAAAAAUAACUUAAUAUUUAUUUUCAGAUAUUCAAAUAAAAAAUAUAUUAUUUAAAUUCAAAAAUUUAAAUCUAUUCAAAAUUUAAAGUAAUUCAGGUCUAUGCAUAUUUCAAUCAUAAAAACAAAUGCCACAUGAGUCAUUCAAUUUCUAAUUAAGAGGAUAAAAAAUAGAUUUGGACUAUCCUAAGACAAAAACAAAAAAAAAAACAAAAAUAAGAUUUCCUAAUAAGUGUACUAACGUGGUCACGCGCCUUGAGAAACGCUUGGACCUAACACACUAUUUUAAUCCGAUAUGCAAAAAAAGAAAAAAAAAAAAAAGGAAAAAUUAUGAGAUGUAUAAGUUUCUAGAGACGUGUUAAAUUUUGAUGAAACAAUGAAGAAAGUCGGUGGCCGAAGUUGGUAUGGGGCAAUGCGAAUGGUGGUUGGCCCACGUUGCCCUGUAAUUGGAGUUGUUAUAAUUUUUCUUAUAAUUAAUAGGACUUGACACAGACUGCAGCAUCAGCCGUUGGAUGUGGAGGGAGAAACUAAACAAUAGAAAACCGUAUGGUGGGAUGACGGUAGAUGUUUGUUACAGAAACUGUACCAUAGACAGGUCCUAAUUAAUAAGCUCUACGUUUUGAAACAAUAAAUAAACUCCAGAUGACCAAAAUAUCAUUUCAUACUGCUACCUAGACAUCUUGGCGAGGGUGGGUAAUGUGGGGCCCGGAGCUUGUUUGAUCGUCAAUUAUUCUCUGGUUUGGUGAAACGAAUGGACGGACGAUGGUGAUGGCUUUUAGGAGAUUAGUAUUAUUAUUAUUAUUAUUAUUAUUACAUUGAGAUCGUAAAACAAAAAAUUCAAUUAAUAAUAUAAAAUAUUUAUUUAAUUUAUUAAUUAUUAUAUAUACACAAUAAAAAAAUUUAUAUACAUAUUUAUAAAUGUGUAAAUAAAUUUCAUUCAAUAUUAUAUCCAAUUAAUCAUUUAUAUUUUUACAGCGGUUUAAUAAUAAUAUUUACUAAAUACAUAUGAUUAUUUUUAAAAUUCACAGUAUUUUUAAAAAUAAAUUUUAUAAAAUUUUUAACUAAUUUUCUUUACAACUAACUAUUGAACGGUUUAACUAAUAGUAAUUAUUUUUAAAAUUAUAGUAUUAUCAAAUUAGUCCUAUGUCAAAUUUGUUAUUGCUGUUUUUUUUUUAAUUAAAAAAUUACAUAGUGCAUACGUGCAUAAUAUGCCCAACUCAAAAAUUCACACAAAAUAUACUAUUUAACUUUAAGGCUUUAAUUGAAAAAAAAAAUUAAGAUUAAGAUGAAUAAAUACUAGAACAUAACAAAUAGAUAAACUCUCCCAUUCUUUAAAAAGAUUAAUUUUAUUUUAAACUUACACUUCGAAUUCAAAGUAGACAUUGAUUGAUAAAAUUAUACAAACGGAUCAAUAUUCCUACAUUUUCUUUUUAAUUUCAAAACCAACAGAUAUUGUUUGUUCAUUAUAUGACCUCCAAACAAAUAAUUUCAUUAAUAAAAUAAUAAUGAAAAGUGUCGUGAUGGGUAUAGAGUAAUUAGGUGGCUAAGUUUCUACUUUUCAUUCUAACUCUUGAGGUUGGUAGGCGCGUGGGUGGUCCACAAAACCCGUGGACGGUAGCAUUCAAACAAAGACUGGAGGCACCAGAAAAAUGUCCAAAAAGUGUGAAACCGUGACGUGUUCAACAUGUUAAUAAAUUUAGGCAAAUGUUAAAGUUACGGAGCUGGCUACGUUACAGAAACUGUACGUAACAGCCAUGCAUUUUUUAUUCGUUGGAUCUAGAGACUGAAAUUGGAUGGUUGGGAUUAAAGGCCAGAAUAGAAAUUAAUCACGGGCAACCGUUUUUAACAUUUAGAAGGGUUUAUUUUCAUGCACACCCAAAUAUUUUGACAAAUAUCAAUAUGCACCCAGUAACUUUUUAUGUAAAACCACAUAACCGACCCGUUAACUUUUCUACUAUUGAAUUAAAAAACUAUCAUGCCUCAAUUGAAUUAAAUUGAUCAGGUAAAAUAUCUUUUAUAACUUGUCAAUUUUUACAGUGAAAUAUACGAGUAUUUAGUAAAAUCAAAUUUAUUUUUUAUUCAGUAAUCAAAUUUUUUUAUUUAGUGAAAUCAAAAUUAUUUUUCUUUAGUUGUAAGAUUUUUUUAACAAAAAAAUUCUAAAAUCAGAUUUAACUCAUUUACUAUUUUAAAAAAUGAACUUUUUACUAACCAAACUAGAGUUUAUCUUUAGUCAACAUAUUUUUUUCUCUAAAAUAACCUUUGAUAGAAUUACUUAUAUAAACAUGUCAGUAUCAAAAUUACUUCAUAUUUUACCAUCCAUCAAUUUAAACUAGUGUGAAAUUUUUUUAGUUUGAUAUUGAAAAUAUGAUAGUUGAUGAGAGAAAUCUAAUUCAAAUUUACAGAUAGAAUAGUUUCUUAUAAUUGCGUACAUGGUAUAUCAAAAAUAUUUUUUUGUGAGUUUUUAAAAAAAUUGUGUCACAAGAUGAAAUUAUCUCUUGAUUUUUCAAUUCCUGGAAUUUAUGUAAAACAAUAAACACAAGUAAAUCUUUUGGUUUGUGACUUCUUGAAGGAAUGUUUGGGAACGCACAAGUUCCUCUCUCCUUCAAAAAGAAUGAUAAGUGCAAAUACCAACCUAGAAAAUUGAUUUAUAAUUCAAAGAAGAUUUGAUUGAAGAUGAUUAAUUGAAAUUUAUCUUUGCAUGAUGUCAAACAUUUUUCAAAAUGACUAAGUCAAGUCUCUUUGUUAAUUCAAAUCAAGAAAAAUUAGAAAAAUAUUAAUGCAUAGAAAUUCUACUAAGAGUUAUUUAUGAAAUUCUCAAACGAAUAGAAAUUAAAUUAACAUUUUUAAAUUUUAGUUAUGGGUUUAUUUUAAAAAUGGGUUUAGAAAGAAAUUUGAGGGGUUUAAAGAACCCCGCCCUUUCUUUAAUUAUUCGGUGAAUUUGAAAUAUAUUAAUAAGGUAUAAGAAUAUGUUAUUCUAAUCUUCUUAUGCAAAAUCUAUGCAAUUAAAAAAAAAUUCACCAAACGGUAUUUGUCUUUUUAUUGACAUUUAAUAAUAUUGAUGGCAAAUAUAUACAAUUAUCAAUCAAUUGUUAUCAACUAUUCAAGAUAACUGAAAAACUAAUUGCGUGAAGUUGGAGUAAUGAUUGUUUGAAUUGCCAAGAGUUUUUUUUUAAUAGAAACUAUUGCAAUUCAUAUCAUUAAAAAACUUAAAGACUACAAGUCGAAUAAAAAAUCUUUCCUUAUAAAAGAAUUUGACCAACUCAAAGUACAGUGUUAAAUCCUUGAGAUACAAUGAACCUAAAAAUCCUACUUUGACACACCACAAAUAAUGAAUCUAACUUAACAAUCAAUGGAGAUAAAUCAAUUUUACUAGCAAAAUAUAAGCCAAAACACAAGGCAACGUCUUCACCAAAAUCAAUAUCAUUCAAAUAAUUCCCCUUGUGAACGCCUGAAGCUAUCAUAAAAACAACAAAAAAUAAAAAAAUAAAAACAAGUAGACAAGCAAAAAAAUUCCCCAAUAACAAGUUACCCUACAAAACUUUUCCUUGUAGAACAUACACAGAAACCGCAGCUAUAGGGCUAUCGAAAGUAGGGAUGGCAAUGGGGAGGGGAGGGGAGGGGACCAAUCUCCCCAUACCCAUCCCCGAUAUUUUGCGUAUGUCCCCGUCCCCGUCAGAAUUGCUUGAGAGAAUCUCCAUCCCCUCCCCGAAUAAUAACAGGGGAUCCCCGAGGGUCCCCGGUCUUUGGAAAAGCUAGGAAAGAAAAGGGACGUGAAAAACAAAGGGGGUAGAUUUUUUGAAGGGGAAAGAAAAAGAAACCCUAGAUCUAAAUUUUUCUCUUCUCUCUAUGAAGAACUAAACCUAUUAUUCUGGUUGAAGAUUAAUAAAGCUUUGGUUCAUCAUUACUGUGAGAUCUUUCUUAUGCUUUAAUUGUUUUAUUGCUUUUUGGGUAUUUGUUUAUUCUCUAAAUUAUUGUCAUGAUUAUAUUUGUUAAUUAGAUAAUUGGCCACUAUUUAAUUAUCAACUUAAUCUAUUGUCAAUUAAAAGAUUCAUCGUAUGAAGAUUUUAAUAUUUGUGACAAAUAGCAUAGCAGUGCGUUGUGUUAUGAGAAUAAACAAUCUAAUUUAAAUGAACCAUCGUAUGCGUUUGUUGAUUAGGAUUUGGGUCUCUCUGAUUUUUCAGGUUGUCAAUUAAUUAAAUCCUAUGAUUGUAUCUAGGGUUAUCUAUUAAUUAGGGAAAUAACCAAUGGUCGUACCUUAGUUAUCGACUAGUUAAAGAGAGAUUGGCUAUUAAAGGGUCUCAGUAGCUAGGGAUGGCAAAAAUCCCCACGGGGACGGGCACCCUCGGGGAUUUUCCCCAUUCGGGGAGGGUACGGGGAUAAUUUUAUACCCAAUUUUUUUUUCGGGGAGGGGACGGGGAAAAUUUUUUACCCAAUUUUUUAUUCGGGGAGGGGACGGGGAUGAGGUGGAAUCCCCAUCCCCUACCCAUUUCCCCAUUUUAAUUUUUAUUUUUUAUUUUUAAAAUUACUAAUAAAUAUAUAACAAAAUUAUAAAUAUUGGCAAGAUAUGAGUGGAAUUUUGGGUGUGACAUGUAUAUUUGAUCCAAGGUAUAAAAAGAAGUUCAUUGAAUAAUACUUUUCUUUUUAUUUUUAAAAUUACUAAUAAAUAAAUAACAAAAUUAUAAAUAUUGUUAAAAAUAAUAAAUAUCAAAAUAGUUGUAUGUUGGGAAAGUGGUCACCCCUUACCAGGAAUUAGUGGAAGAGUAUCAAUUGAAGUUUUCACCAAUUGUUUAUUGCUUUGAUUAUACUGGUUGUAGUUCUUCUAUUAGAUCUACAGGGGAUUCUUAUAAGAAAGCAACCAAAUGGAUGACAUGUUUUGAUGAUUAUGUAAACAAUGGAGAUUGUGCAGUUGUUGCAGAUGAAUUAGAUUCAUAUUUGGAUGAAAAAGUUAUACCCCGGAUGGAAGAUUUUAAUAUUUUGAGUUGGUGGAAGACAAAUGCUAAUAGGUAUCCUACAUUAGCUCGAAUUGCUACAGGACGAGCAGGAGGUAAAUAGUUUUAUUAAAAAUAUUAAUUAAGUAUCUACAUUUAUUUCAUUUAUUUUAUUGCCGAUGUAAAAAAUAUUUUUUUUUUCUUUUUAUUGUAGGAUUAUGAAGAUUGAGACAUUGAUAAAGAUAAUUAUUUUAAUAAUUUAUAUUUUGAAUGUGACUUUGUAAUGGAUCAAUAUUAAUGUAAGAUAUAUUUUAAACUUUAUUUUUAUCUGAAUUUUUUAUUUUAAUAUGAUUAAUUUAAAAUCAAAAAUAAAAAAAUGUAUUAGACUAUUAAUUAUUCGGAGACCGGGGACCCUCGGGGAUCCCCUGUUAUUAUUCGGGGAGGGGAUGGGGAUUCUCUCAAGCAAUUCUAACGGGGACGGGGAGGGGACGGGGACAUACGCAAAAUAUCGGGGAUGGGUAUGGGGAGAUUAGUCCCCUCCCCUCUCCUCCCCAUUGCCAUCCCUAGAUUUUUGCCAUCCCUAUCGAAACCUCUACCCACCACUAUUAGAGUUAAAAAAAUCUCUGAUAUGAGUGUAUUCUUCUAAUUUGAACUCUAACGUGAUUUUUUGAGAGAUUCAUUGGAAAAAAACCUUAAGGAGUUAAAGAAGAAAUUUAAAAAAAAAAUCAUAAAAAGAGGAAUGAAAAGAAAAAGAUGCUUUACCAAGAGUUGAUUGACAGUAAUUGGUAAAUUUGAGCAUGCAAUAAAAUUUACCCAUAUAUUCAUAUGACAUAAAAUAUAAUUUUAUUCAUUAAUUACACUACUAAUUUGUCUAAAUUUUAGUUUUUAAAAAAAUAAAUUUCUAUAUAUUUACAUAAAUCUUAGUUUUUAUAAAAAUAAAUUGAAAAAUAAAUUUAUGUUUUUAUAAAAAUAAAUUUAUGUUUAUUUUUUUACAUUGACCUGAAGAAAAGACUAGUACUACUAAGCUGCUGUACGGCCAAGGCGGAUGUACGGUACAGCAGCAAUUUGACUGUUUGGGGGUGGGGUUGAUGGCUUACAUCAAAGUUAGUGUGUGCUAAGGAUUAACAAUAAUAAUGGGGUAAAUAUGAAAUUAAUCCUUGCCCAAGCAUUAGAAGUUCGUCGGUUUUCUUUUAACCGGAUAAUUACCGGUGAAUAUGUCACGCGUUCCUACACGUGGCAGCAUCUAAUUUAUUCGCUUGUCAUUUCAGUUUCUGUUAGUUACAGUUUCUGUAACGUAGCUAGCUCCGUCAGGUACAGGCAUGUUGUAACUUACGUUUCUCGUAAAAAUCAUAUAAGUUCUAUUUCUACCGCUAGGGUGAGCAUGGGUUGAUUUGGAUUAAAUUUUAAGUUAAUUUAAAUUAAAUUAUAAAAAUUUGGGUGUAAUCUAAAUUAAUUUAAAUAUUUUUAACAUAACUCAUGGGUUGGUUAAAUCAAACUAUAAAAAUUUGGUCCAACUCAAAUUAACUCAAAUAUUUUCAACACAACCCAAAGCAACUCAGUUGGAUUUUAUUAAAAUUAUAAUAAUUAUUAAUUGUUUUUAAACCAACCAUUUUGAGUUUGGUUUGGAUUUUAUUAUCAAAAUAUAUUUUUUAUUUUGAGAAAUUUAAUUUUAUCAAAAUUAUAAUAAUUAUUAAUUGUUAUUACUUAUUAAAUUGAUAAUAACAUAUAAAAAUUAUAAUUCAUAAAAAUUAUAAAUAACAAAUUUUACAAUAACUUAAUCCUUAAAUUAAAGAAUACUAGAAAAUUAAAAUAAAGUUUAAUCACAAAAAUCAUUAUUUAUCAAUAAAUAAGAAAAUUCUAAUAAAAAACUUCUACAAGCACGAUAUCGACAAGUAAAUUCAAAGAAAGAAAGAAAGAAAGAAAAGACUAGUACUACUAAGUAUUAACCCUAUUACAACACAAACUCUAACAAUGUCCAUACAAAUAAAAAAAAAUAAGACAUUCUAACUCAAGUGUCAAAGCAAUCCAUCAUAAUCAUUUCCAUCCGUAGUACUUUAAUCGAGAGAUUCCACGAUUAACUGACAAAAUGUAUGACAAUGAUAAUUUACAUUGAUUAUGACAUAAUAGAGAUGGAUUUGUCAAAGCCAAAUCAUUUGCUGGAAAGGAAUUUAGUUGAAGUAGGAACCAAAAUUCAACUUAGAUGGAUCUAUAAAAUUGGUCAUUCAAUACAUAAGUACUUUAUCAACAGAUUCAACACAUUAUAAAUUUAUGGAUUCAACUAAGUUACAACCAGCUGCAACUUAUUCCUCUCACAUAAACAAUAAUACAGCGGUAGGCUAUAUUAUUUACAAAAAGUACUUAUGUAUUGAAUGACCAAUUUUAUUACCUGCAAAAUUAAUUAAUCUUUCACUCUAUCAUCUAACUAAUGGAAGGCAAUCUUAUUUUAGGUUGUAAUGAUUAGAAACUAGCAGGAAGUGGGGGCGAUGCUCCAUAUUAAUUUGGAUAAAUCCCUUUCUAGUGAAGAAGUUAAAAUUAUAAAAUAGAGAUCAAGAUAGAAAUUUAAAGGCCCCGAUUGUUUUUUACAGACUUAAAAAUGAUAUUGAAAAAUUAAAAGCUAAUUUUAGUAUUUAAAAAUUACUUUAAGAAAAAUCACCCUAUCUUCCUGUAAAUUUUGAAAAGCAUGAAAAGAGCAGUUUUUCAAAAAUUGAUUUCGAAAAUUAGUUUCAUACUUAAUACAAUUCCAUAUAUCCUAACAUUUAUUAUAAAAAUUCAAAUUAUCCUUAUUAAAUUAGGAAAUAAAGUCAGUACAUUUAAAUAAGAGUGAUGAUAUAGACACAAACUCUUGUACCAACUGACGUAGCAUUAAUUUAUUAGUUGAAUGAAAAUAUAAAAUAAUAUAAAUAAAUCAUGUGGGCCAAGAAAUAUUUAAUUUAACCAAUUUUAUCAUGUCACAUUAUAAGCAACUUAUAAACUCAUUGGAUUCGACUCUUUACUAAAAUAAAAAUAAAUUAAUAUAUAUAUAUAUAUAUAUAUAUAUUUACAUACAUAAAAUGUGAUUAUAUACACAUAUUUAUAAUUGAAUAUGUACAUAAAUUCUGUAGAUUUAUGUCUAUCUAUACAUUUGCAUUCUUACCACAUUUUAAAAGUGUGAUUUACCAAAUACAUGGGACUUAUUUGAAAUUUAUAGCACUUUUAUAAAUAAAAUUUAUCAAACGUUAAACAGAUUCUCUAUUUUCGCGUAUAUAUCCUCAUGUAAAUUAUAAAAAUUCAAAAUUAUCUUUAUUCAAUUAGGAAAUUAAAUCAUUAUUUUUAAAGAGAUUCUUAUUAUUACUAAUUAGAUUCAAAUAACCAAAAAAAUACAAUCAAUAAAAUAAAAAUAUUUAUUUUAGUUAUCAUUUAUUAUAUACACAUAUUUAUAAAUGCAUGUGUAAAUAAAAUUUUAUAGAUUUAUGUCUAUUUAAGUUAUUUGCAUUCUUACAACAUUUAAAAAAUGAGAUUUACUAAACACAUGUGAUUGUUUUUAAAAAAGUUACAACACUUUUAAAAAUAAAAUUUAACAAAUGUUUAAUUGACUCUCUCCAAAGGUAAUUGUUUUUACAGUAUAGCUAAAGUAAUUUAUAAAUUUAUGAUAAGUAUUUGUGAAUAUUGGUCUAUGUAAAGAAGUAAAAACAACAUAUAUAUUAAGCAGCAUGAUAUUAAAACUCUUAGUAAAAUACAUAUACUAAUAAAAGAAAGACAACAAUGCAAUAAAUAAGCUUAUAAUAUAAAUUAUUAAAAUUGUAUAUUAAAAAAUUAUGCAUGAAAUUCUUUUUCUAUUUUGGUGAUAGAGAAUGCGAUAUAAUUGAAUUAUUUGAUUUAAUAAAAAAAAAAUAUGACUGUGAAGGAAAUUAACAAUUGAAUUGUGGAAUGUUAUUAAUUGUUAUUGUAUCAUUUUGCAACGUUCUAAUAAUAUGGACAAUGUUACAGUAUAUUGAUGGGCGGUAAUAUUUUCACCUCUUAAAUUGUGUAAAGUCAGCUCCAUUUAAAAAAAUUAUAUAUAAAAAGCCCAUUAGUUUUAAUAGUUUCAAAUUAAGAUUAAAUGCAAAUAAUUAACCAAUUAAAUCCUUAUUAAUAAGAUCAUUGAGCUUUAAUUAAACUAAUAAAAUGCAUUUGAUAAAUGAAAUUUACGAUAUUUAAUUACAUGAAAUUUAUUGACUACAUGAAUAAUAUAAUUGUUCAGCUGUUUAAACUUUUUCCCUAUUUAAAUUUUAAAAAACAAUGUGAAAUUUUGUAAAUAGUUCUUUGAAAUGGGGUGGAUUUACACCAUUUGUGCAGUGCAAAUAUCCUAAUUCUAACAUUUUUUUUAAAAAAAAAGACCAAAUCAUAACAUUUUUUGUAUACUAAGUUAAAGUAGUACUAACAUUAUAGCCCCCUAAUGAUUUCAAUUCAUUCAAUGAAUAUAUAAUUUAAGCAUGUUAUAAACUAAGUCUCUAAAUCGAAUUAAAAAAAGAAAAAAGAGCUUAAUUGCUGACAUAGUUGAAAAUAAAAUAAAAAAUUUUAUUAUUAGAUGAAAAAUUAUGAAACUUAAGGGGUAUAAGCGAGUCGGCAGCUGCUCACCAGGGCAUAUGUAAUAUUUGUUAAUACAUUUCAAAAUUUUAGGUUUUUUAAUAAUAUUUUCAAUACAUUUUCUAGAAGGUUUAGAAAAAAAAAAUGACUCAAUACUUUAAUCGAGCUAUGAAUAAACUCAUGUGUUAAAAAAUUUCAUAUUUACACCCAAUAAGAUUAAUUAAUGGGUGAUACAAAUUUAAGAUAGUUAAUAAUAAUAUAUAUCAUCUUAAGUUAACUUCAACUCAUUAACCUUGUAUAAGGUUUGAUGGGUCGUGCCGCAAAUUAUCACCUCUAAUCCUUUUUGCAACAGGCAUGAUGAAUGCUAACAAAAUGAAACUUCUAUAUAUUUAGUUGUUAUUCUUUUUAAUGAAAUAAUAAGGAGCUUUGCUGCAAAUUUCCAUCCAGCAUGGCAUGGACGCACGUGAAAUUUGCUAGUAUGGUCCUGGACAUGCGUGGCUGAGAUGCUUCUAAAGGCAAAGAAUUCCAAGUUCAUACCAAAUAUAACUUUCUGAUAUUUUUGUGGUAUCAAGUUUGUUUUUCACAAACUAAGGUGUCGGCGUAAAGUUGUUGUCCAUGCAAUGAAGUUUUAUACAUAAAUAUAUUAACCUAAAUUGUUACUAAAGUUCCAUAAUUAGCAGUUCCUGAGAGUUUUUACUAUAUAUUUUUUUGUUUUAAUUCAACAUAUGUUUAUUUAAUACGAUUUUAUUAAAUAAAUGUGCAUAUUUACCAUAUUUGUCUACGAUCAAUUAGUUGGAAAAAAAAAAGAAAAUUAAUAAAUUUAUUUAUUUGAUUGUUAAUGGUUUAGGCAUUUGAAUUCCCACAAAGUCAGGGUGUCAGCUCUGGACUUCUGGUGAUGUAUUUUUCUAAUAAAGAAAUAAAAUAUUGUUGUCAUUUUUUUAAUAUUCUAAUUUACCAAGCCUACCAACCAAUUAAUUUUUCUAAUUAGAUCAUUAAUUCAUUACACGUGCAUUCGCUGGCCCAGUGCUCCAAUCCCAUGCAUGCUGCACAACUCAAUGUGUUUUAAUAAGAAAAGGUUUGGUUAGCCUGUGCUGAUGCCAGAAGCCCCUUAAGGAGUUCAGGUAAACGUAAAUAUGUCCAGAUUUAGAUUUGAAUAUGUAAACGUAAAUAGGUCCAGAUUCAGAUUCGUUGCGCUAGAGAGGGGCACGCACGAUCGGGCUGCUGUCAGGUGGUACGUUGGCGUGGCAAUUCUCAACACGCGCUUCUCCUGGUGCAUACUUACGGCAAGUUGACACGUGACCCGUGUGGAUUGAGUGGACAGAGUCACGGGCACUGAUUUUUGUCAUCCAUAACGACUAACGUCGGAGACUUCGAGAAGAAAGAAAUUGUUGUCGUUUCUAAGGGGAAAAAAAUAUUUAAUUUGUUGAAGACAAAUUAACGUCGGAGAUUUUUUUUAUUUUUUAUUUUUAAUUUUGCAAUCUAAACCAGUCUAAUCAAAAUGUCAAUUUGACAAAAGUUGGACUGAUUUAGAUUAGUUCUAUUAGUUUGAUUGGAUUAAAUUGAAUUAGAUCUUGAACAUCCUAACACUUUUCAUGAAUGUUUUCCUUUUUUUUUGAAAAAAAUUAAUAAGGAGAAUUCCCAUGAAUGUUAAUUUUAUUGAUAAACUUGGCAAUUUUAAGAAAUGUUUUGACGCACGAAUAAUGCAAUUCAUCAACCCACAUAGAUAUGGAUAUAGGAAGCAGAGACCAGAUCGAUCUUGACAUAACGAAAACUUGUAUGUGUAUAUGUAUGUUACAGACCAGAUCGAUCUGUAGCAUAGACUUCUCCUAUAUGUAGGUUAUAUUCAAAUUACAAAAUGAACACAUGUUAAGGAUCUACAACUUCUUCUUUAAUCUAAUAAGCUCCCUCAACUUUAUUCCAAAACAAAAAAGAAUCAAAUUUUUGUUGGAAAUAUUUAUGAAUGAAGAAGCAAAAAGCGCUUGUAUCAAGGAUCUAAUUAAAGAACUGCCAGAGGCAUAGAUCUAUCAAAGCUCCCUCGCAUGACUCUUGGUCUCGGUGGCUUCUUCUUCUUCAUUCCGAAUUUUCCCUCCAUCUGAUCUCUUCCAACCUUUCCAUUUCCAAAUUGAAUUGAAACUUGCCUCAUAUUCGUUUGUUGAAUCCCAUCUUUUGUUGCACCACCAUGCAUCAAAAUCCUUGAAAUCCCAGCAUAAUGCAAGGACUCAGCUAUUUGCAAUGGGGUCACGUUCUUACUUGUCCUUGCCUCAACAUCAGCUCCCUUCUUCACAAGCAAUUCAGUCACAUCUGUGUGGCCAGAUUCCACCGCACAAUGCAAAGCUGUGUACCCAUCUUCAUCUUUAGCAUCAACAUCAAUCCCUUUAUCAAUCAGAAUCCUCACAACCUCAAUCUUUCCCUUAAACGAAGCCCUAUGCAAAGCAGUCCAUCCAUGUAGGUCUUUCCCAUUGAUCGCGGCGCCUGCUUCGAUCAACCUCUGCAUUGUCCUCACUUCCCCUUUCCUAGCGGCAAUACACAGGCUGUCACCAAGCUUCAACGCGUCAAAGAGACGGGAGUGACCGCACUCAGCAGCAACAUCAUAAGCGGUCUUUCCGCUCUUGUUUCUAAUAUAUUUAUUAGCACCCUUCUGCAAUAACAGCUUCACCAUUUGCUCAUAUCCCAAGCUUGCGGCGAUAUGCAAAGGCGUGUCACCGUCUCUAGCGUUGCGUAUAUCAGGCCUUGCUCCGUUUGCUAACAGAAGUCUCGCGCAAUCUCUUCUUCUGUCUUCAACCGCGAGAUGCAGAGCUGUGUUACCAUCUUUUGUUAAAGCAUUGACAUUAGCACCUUUGAUUAAGAGAAGCUUUAGUACUUCCAAAUGGCCGCCUCGUAAGGCCAAGUGUAUGGGCCCCCAUGUUGAUGUUCCUGAUCUUUCUGUGCUGGCUUUCCUCGCCAACAAGAGCUCAACAAUAAGUGCUUCCCCUGCAGCCGCCGCGGCUUCAAGUGGAGUACUGCAGCCACACCUGCCUUGAGACUCAACAUCCGGCCCAAACUCAAGCAAAAGUUGAACAAUAUCAGGCCUCCUUUGAGCUAUAGCAAUAUGAAGCAACGUUUGUCCCUGCGCAUCGGCAGAAUCAGCCGGGUUCCAAGCCGGGUCACUCCGCUCAAGAACCUCUCUUAAAUCAUCCAUUUCACCAUCCUUAACAAGCAGAACCAAAACAGGAGACCCAACGAACAUGAUCUUGAUUCCGCUGUCGAUGAACACUUGCUUCUUCCUCGUUGUGAACCAGUCACUGGGGACGGAAUCAAGCGUCGACGUUGCAUCUUUAAUUCCAGCUCCAGGAACAACAACGCUGUGCAAGAGGAAGGAAUCAUCACAGUGAGGGAAAGAAUCAGGAAGAACCGAUCCUGGAGGGAGAUGAUACGCAAUCUCUACGCUUAGUGUUGCGAGUGGUGAUAUGAUUCCUGAUUGCGGCUUCACAGUAUAACGAGCCUUGUUUGUAGGCUGAAUCCUGAAAGCAACAGGCAUCGUGUGCAUGACAUUGCGGAGAGUCAGCUCCCCGGAACAUUUCUGCCCUGGUUCAAUUCUGAUAGCUACAAGGUUCGACGGCUCCAAGCUUACAAGCCUAUCCAUUGAUUAAUUUUCUCUCCGUUUCCCAAGGACUGCUGAAAGGGGUUCUUUGAACUUUUUGAUUCAGGCUUAUUUUCUUCACUUUUGGUGGCAUGGGGAGGAAUUAGAGGAGUAACUGUAAGAGCUGCAAGUGUUGGUGUAAUCAACUGUAAUAUAAGGAGAAGAGAGGGCCGGCUCUAAUGGGAGACUGCCACGUGGUGGUGUUAAAAACAAUGAGACUUGUUCUGUUCGGCGUCCGGAGUGUAUAUACAGUUGUGUUAGUGGUGAAAGUUAAAGAAAUCCUGAAGUUAUUUUCGGAGUGGCUUCUGCAAAGUCACUUUCAGGAUUGUAUUGUAUCAUUAAAAAACAAAGCCAGUUUUUGUUGUUCUAGUAAAAGGCGAAUCAUUGGACAAACUCGUAAGAAUAUGUUGCCAAAUGUAUAAAAUAUGAAAUUCAAACAAUGAUUACAAUGUGAAAUUGGACAAUGGACAUGGCCUGUGUGAAUUGUUUUGUGGGCUUACUAAUUAAAUUAAUUCACUAAAAAUAAUGUCACUUUUGUGUCUGUGAAGAAGCCGAAAUGGCACAGUCAUUUACGUGGCCAACUACGGUGACUACUUCGUCAGUAGCUGCUCGAGCACUUGGUCAGCACAAGUUGCUUUCUUUCUUGGCGGGAUUAGUUUUUCUUCAUUGCUUUAAGUGGUGCAUUUCUGCAGUUUCAUUUUGCUUUGCUUAUGCCAUUGGAUUUGUGCCCCAUAAAUAAAUAUAUAAUUAAGCGGAAAAGUAUCAAAUUUUGAAAAAGCUUAGGUUUUGUGUGUGUGUGUGUGUGUGUGUGUGUGUGUGUUUUAAGCCGAAUUACUCGGCUAAAAAUUAAUCCGAUUAUUAUUGUUUUGGUGCUUAAGAUGUGACUCUAACCUAAAGCUCAUUUGAACUCUCUUGAUGCUCAUAUGGUAUUUUUUGUGUUGUGUCGUGCUGGCCCUUACACAUCUCGGCUCAUAUUUUUCAUGUUACUAAGUUCUAAUAUGUACAAAAGAAAUAGAGCAAUGUCCGGUGGUAGAUCCAAACACUCAAUUUGGGGUGCUUAUUUUUCAGUCUCAAAUUCGAUUAUUUUCUUUUAAAAUAUUAAAAUAAUAGUAAUAAAAUACUUAUUUUAAAUACUGAGCUCAUUACAACCACAUAUGUAAAAGUAUCAUUUAUAUUUUUUUUCUAAAUAAUCUUCACAAAAUAUUUUAAAAAAUAAAAUUAUGUGACUAUGGGGAUUUGAACCAAGUCUCUCAAACUACUAAAUAACACUUUUACCACUAAAUUACAAAUCUUUUAACAUAUUAAAAGUGCAUCCAAAUUAUUAUUAUUAUUUAAUUAUUUCAUAAGAGAUUUGGGGCACAUUUAAAAGAAAAAAAAUUAAUGGUGCAUAAAGGACUAAAGCCUCUCUUGAGUCCUUGACCUUAACUAGGUCCACCCAUGGUAAUGUCAGUGAUACCCAACUUGAAAAAUAUACAAGAAACUUGGAAAUUUAAAUUAAUGAAUAAAUAAAUAAAUAAAAGGAAACUUAGUGAUUGUAGCUGUUGUAUUGUAUUGUGGAUCAAAGAAUUACAAGUUCUUGGUUUCUCGGUAUUGGCUAAUUUUGAAGUUAAAUGAAGUUCGAAAAUAUUUACAAGCAAUAAAAUUAUCAACUGAAUGAGACAAGGAAAGAGUAUAAAGACCUUAGCAAAUUAGCAAUCCUUCUUUAAUUUAGUAACAGUGACGCUUAUAAAGUUAGAAGACGUAUCAAAUCUAAUUUAGAUUUUGCCCCAUAAAACUAACUUAACUUAUAGUGCGUCUUUGUUUAAUUAGUAAAUAUUCCACAAAAACUGAUCAGCACUUUAUAGGAAAUUCCAAACACGUUUAUAUUCACAAGGAAUAUGUCAAGGAGAAAUGAGAAUAAAAAAAUGUAAAAACUAAUAAAGCUUCAUUAAUUAGAAUUUAUAACCAUAUGUGCUCCUAUACUACUUUUAUUAUUAAGAAUUUGAAGUAGAAGGUAGUUGAUUAUCAUGAAAUUACAAAAUUGUAAACGGAUUUGUUCUUUUGGAAAAAGAAAAAAAAAAAAAAAGGAAGGAUAGUUGAUUACUUGAUUAGUGAGAAAUCAUACGUAUAAAGGACAAAUUGAAAAAUGGGACCUGAAUUGCAACAAAGCUUCAUUGGAAUUAACUGCCGAUAAAAUUAAAUUAGUAUCACCCUACCCUUUCAUCUUAAUAUAUUCGAAAUUUCACCGAUCAAAGUUUCUAGCUUCGAUUUUUACGAUCUCUCAUCCUAAUAACACCAAAAGCAUAUUCAUUCGUUUGUAAGAUUAUGUAACAAAAUAUAGUAAAUAGCCUAUAAUUUUUUUGUUUUACUACUAACCUGUUAUCAUUCUUUUCUAAUAAUACAUGUUAAAAUAUUCACAGAAAAAAUUUAUCCCUAUUACACCCAACCACCUUUUUUUGUGUUUUUUUUGUUCAAAUUUUAGCAUUAAAGGGACAAUAAUGUCCUAUGAAAUAUGCAGAAAGACAGUUAAUAAUAUUCAAAAAUGUAAGUGGAGGUAUCUUACGCCACACACACAAAUUACACGACUCUCAUUAAUGUGUUGUUGUUGUUAUGUGUGGCGUAAGUUACAGUUGAAUGUCAUAUUCAAAAAAGUAAGUGGAGGUAUCAAUCUCCCUAAAUAAAUAAUUUAUGGAAGGUUGUUAGCUGUUGUACUUUUAGUUAAUUUUAAAAUCACAAUAAUAUGGUUAAUGUUAAGUUACAUGCAUGUAACUUAGGAGGAUCCCAAUAAUAUACCAUAUUUUAUUAAUAUGUACAGUAUUUAUAAUAUUUAAAAAUUAAGGAAUUAAUGUACGCAUGUAAAAGCUGCAUUGGAGCCAGUUGGAAAUCUUACUGUCUUGAUAUAUGCAACGAUUGUAGCAGCUAAAAAGGCAUGAUAUUUACUUAAUAUUAUUUCAAACAAUAAUUAUUUAUUUAAAGCAAAUAAUAAUAAUGAGGGCAGAAGGACUAUUCUAGGAUCAAUAUGGUGACAGUAUAAAUAAAUAAUAUUAAUUAUUAAUGCAUUGAUGAGUAUUGUUAAAAUGACAUAAUAGGUUUGUUUCAUUGAAUUGAACCUUUUCUCUUAAAAUAGCUAUAAUUUGUUCUCUCUCUCUCUGUGUUUUUGUUUUUGUUUUUCACUUUAGUUUUACUUCUCUUAAAAAACCAAAAAAAAAAAAACAAAAUUAAUGGAAACUGAUGAUGGGAAGACGGACAAUUUUCUAUAUUGUUAAAUAGAAAUGGGCACAAAUGUGAGUUUUUUGGGGCAAAAAAAUAUAGUCAAUGUACGUAGCGUUUGUCUAUUUGAAAACCCGUCAAUAUAAAAACAGGACGUAAAGCUUUCAGACAAAGUACUCUUAUGGCCGUACUUUCCAUAAACCAAAUCAAAAGAAGGAAAAUAUUUGUGUCUGGCUUCGAUGCGACUGUUAACAUUCACAAAUAAACACCUUUGCAUGGUCAGAAAAAUUAACAAGAAAUUAGAAGGCGAUGUUGCGUUCUACUUAGUUCUCUAGGAUUUGUGUCAUUUGUUUAUGCUACGGUUCGUUCCCAUUUGCAUUGCGUGGAAUAAUUGGCCGAAUAUUAUUAAUCUCAAUCUUAAUCUCUCAACUCUUGUCCCUUUAAUUUUUGUUUGUAUCUUUUUCUUUUUUUUUUUAAAUAUCACAUACAAUGCUUUUAAUAAAUAACUUCAUAGAAAUAUUUAAUAAAAUCCAACAUAUAUAAGUUCAAGAAACUCAAAAAAUAAAAGAAAAUAAACUCACGUUGUCACUGGAGAGACUCAAACAUGCUACCUUAAAAUUAAGUAGAGGGUGCAACUACUUGCACUUUAAAAAAAGAAAAGAAAAAAAAAGGGGCUUUGAACGCUCGUGAUAAUUUGCAAGUUAUGGAGGAUAAUCAUUGUACAAUGGGGAGAACUCUUAUGGAACAAUAUUCAAACUGAUAUUGAAAGCAUAUAAGAAUUUGGCUUGGGUGUUUUGGUGCCAUGAAUGAGUGCAGAAACAAAGAGGAAGCUUUGUCCCUUUAAUUUGAUCUGCUGUAUUAUAAUUAUUGAGAUUAAUCAAAUAAAUAACCGAAACAUGGUUACAGUUUUAUAGUGUAUUGCAAGUCUUUGGAGAUACUAUGUACCUCAAAAAAAAAUAUCGUAUAAAAGAGUGUUUUGUUUCACAGGGGUUCAAUGAGAUUUGAGAUGGCUGUAAUGAAAGUGAUGUAAAUUUUUUGGACUCUAAUGAGGUGUUUUUAGAUGGAGGGGGAUUUACAAGUAUUUUAUAGGGGUGAUAAAUGACUGUAUACCCACCAAAAAGGCCCAUUGUUCGAGUCCAUGAGCAUUACAGUUUUUUUUUUUUUUUUUUUUGAAAUUCAGAACAUGCAGUUUGUUUGAUUCAACUUCCGAAUUACAAAAUUAGAAUAAGAAAAAAAAAUGUGGAUGUUUUUUCUUUAAUUUACAUAAUAAUACAUGGUGUGGACGAUGUCUAUUGAGGGAUAAAAGAGGAAUGGGGGCACUGUGAAGUUUGUGUUUUUGUUUUUUUUAAAUUAUCAUAUUCAUACUGUCUAUAAAAAUAUGCAAGUUAAAAAAUUACUCAUGAUAUUGUUGUUUUUGUUUCAUAUAAUACUACUUAUGCACAUCGCCUCAUGCAAACAUUUCUUAGUUAUGCUUAAAAAAAUGAGAUUCUCACCAUGGGUCACUGUAAAAAUCCACAGAAGCCGUGGAUCACAGUAGGAAGCCCACUUGAACAGAAGAAGCUACCGAAAGCUUCGACAUUGUAUUUAUGAAAUGCUUAGUAAAUUUUGUUUUAUUUUGAAUUUAUAUUAUAAAUGGUGUGUUGCUAAAUUAAAAAAUAAAAAAGAAAUGCAAUGUGUCAAAAUACAAGAAUCUUACGGACAUUUUUGUCACAAUAUAUGUAAAUAAUUCAUAUCUUAUUCAUAUCCUAUGUAAGCUUCACUUGUUUAACACAAUGGUGGUUGAAUCUUCAAAAAUUCAUAAUCUUAAACAACCAAAUUUGGAAUUAAUUAAGCAAAUUGCCUCUAUAAAUUGAUUACAACAACCAACGACGUGUGAAGCCACAUGUCAAUUUCCCUAGACAGCCCAAAUAUUGAGGCGCUGUGAGGGAGCAAGGUGCAAUCGGAUGGGGGAAAGAGAGAGAGCCAAUGGUGAGAAUGGAUCGUGGUGAGGGAGAACCAACUGGUGGUGAGAUUUGUGGCUUCAAUGAGGUGAGUUUCGUGGCGCUGUGAGUGAAGUGAGAUUUGGCAUGAGUGUGAGGGAGAAUGCGUGUGUUGUGUGAGUGAGGUAAGCUGUGUCUGUUGUGUGCAUGGAGACUCUCACCACAAUUAGAAUUUAUAGUUAGCACAGAACGAAACACAAUAUUCUACGCUAACUGUGGAGUUAACCAUGGUGAGAAUAUCAUUAUUGUUUAUUAUAACACUUUUUUUUUUAAUUUGUUUUGACAAUAAAAUAAAGAACCUUGUAAGAAAACCUCAAUAACUCAAUUAAAAAACCAACUCAACCGAUGAUAGGUAAAUUGAGAAAUUUUCAACUAAAAAUUAUUAAGAUUGGUUUUAACUUCAAAUCAUAGUCACAUAGUUUUGUCCUUAUAAAGAUCAAAAUAAUGAAUUCUAACUCCGAAGUUUUUAGAUUUAUGUGACGAACUGACGAUAGUAUAUUGAAAUCGAUUGAAAUGAAAAAUUUAAUUAAAUGCAAUUCAAGAUGUAGUAUCAAAUUCAAACGAUUCGGAUUGUUUUAAAAAUUUCAAUGCUUUAAUCUAAAUCGAUUAAUCAAUUACACUCUUGCAAUUAUAUACCGUUAAAACUAAAAUAUGUAAAAUUUAGGGUGCAUUUAUUACCAUUUUCAAUUUGUUGUUUUUCGUUUUAUGAAAAGGAAAAUACAGAAAACUUGUUUGGUGAGCUCAUAUUGGUGGAAAACUGUACAGUGAUUAAAAACAAAAAAAAAUUCAUUUUUCAAUGUUUACAAAGGAAACAAGAAAACGCUAUUACACUGGGUUCUCUAUUUUAUUUCACUUUUACUCUCUGCCAAGGCCCUACCAUCUUAACUUUUAUAACAUGGUGUAAUAAAUUACGUGGGCCCAUUUAAUAAAGAAAUAAUCUAAUAAAUAAAUUAUUAUAACAAAUAUUUAAAAAUAAUAGCAUUCCAUACCUUACAGCUUAAUUACUUAAUAUAUUACCCAAAUUAUUUUAAAUAAAAAGUGAUAUCAUAUAAUUAUUAUACUAAAUUAUUACAUUGUUCGACCAAUAUGCAGUUAUUUAAAAAUUACUACAAACUUUCUUACAUAUAUUAAUGAAAAUAUAUCAAUAAUAAAGUUACAUCUUGACAGUUAAUAUAAAUAAAUAUAUGAUAAUUAUGAAAUAAUUAAAGAUUUUCUCAAUUAAUAUUAUCUUAUAACUACAAUUUAUUUACAUAAUUAAAAGUUUUUAAGAAAUUAUUAAAAUAUCUUCAAACCUAUAUGCAUUUAUAAUAAUAUAUAAUACAUCAUAAUAUAAUAACUAAAUAGAUAAAUUAUUUAUUAAUAUAAAAUAUAUGUUUAUAUUCAUUAUAUAAUAUUAUUCUUUCAUAGUAGUUUCAUUAAAUAAUUCUCUACUCUCUCUCUUUUUAUCUUUAUUUUUUCGGACAGACAAGUAACCAAACACCGCUUCACCUUUUUUUUAUUUUCAAAUACUAUUCUUAAAAUAAACUACCAAACAUAUUUUUAUUUUUAACAAAAACUAAUCAUUUUUAUUUUAUAAAACAAAUUGAAAAGUACUAUUUAAAAUAUAAUACCAAACUUACCCUUAAUAAUUUUAUAUUUGUCAAAAAGAUGAGAAGCUAAGUGGCACUAUCGUUUACCUAUUCAAACUAAACGUGGAGUCACAAUAUUGAAGACACUUUGGUGGCCACAACACUCUUUUCUUUAGUACGGAACAAUCUGGCUUACAUGACACUACAUAAAAAUAAAUAAUAAAAAAUCACCGAUUCCAACUGCCCCGGACAAAAAACAGGCCACACGUAAAAAGGCUUCUAUUUUUAUUUUUAUUUCUCCCCAUUUUAAAGAUGACGUCAUGGUGAUUAUGAAACCAGAAAAUAACAAAUUUUAGUUGUCUGAUUUUGUAGUUAUCCAGCGAAAACUAAAAAAACAGUGAACGCAGCAGCAGAUCUCCGUGUUUGUCGUCGUUCGAUGAGAGAUUCCGAUUCGUGAGCAUCGCAAGUGUUGAAAUGGAAUCAGACGAAAUGAGGAGUUAGCCUCUUAUUAUAUAAUAAUAAUAAUGAUAAUAAUAAUAAUAACUAAUCUCUUUUAUCAUAUAAUUGAUAAUGGAAAUUCACAUUGACAAAAGGCAAAUUACACACUGACUGGGCAGAAUAAAAAACAGUCUCUCUCAAAAGCAAUAAUUUAAACACUAACACCACCUUAAGGAGACACCCCAAAAAUAAAGCAGCAAGCUCUUACUGUGACCACACACACACACACACACCAAACUUUUAUUAUAGAAUAAAUCUAAGAUGAUGGAUGAUGGAUGCGUCACAUAAAAGUUAAUUAAUUUAAUCGCUGUCACUGCUGCUGCUGCUCUCGUGUCCGUCCUCGUGCUUCUUCUUCUUCUCCUUCUUUUUCUUCUUCUCUUCACCGUGGGCGGCGCCCUCGCCGCCGCCGACACCGGGGAUCUUCUGCUUGAUCUUGUCCACCAAGCCCUCCUUGUGUUCGCCCUCCUUGUGUUCCCCGCCGUGAUGCUGCUGCUGAUGGUGAACAUCAGUAGUGCCGACACCGGGGAUCUGCUGCUUGAUCUUGUCCACCAAGCCCUCCUUGUGUUCGCCGCCGUGAUACUGCUGCUGAUGGUGGACAUCAGUAGUGUGGUGGUCCCCACUAUGGUGCUCUCCCUUGUGCUUGUCCUCCUCCUUUUGCCCUCCUCCCAUGUGAAGGGCUUCUCCGAUCUUGUGAAUAACUCCUGACAUUUUCCCUUAAAAUGACUCUGUUCCUCUUCUUUUCUUUUCAAUGAAAAAUAGUUGUUUGCGAUCUUCUUCUGGUUGUUGUUGUUCUUGUUGGGUGAUCUUGGCUUGGUAUUUAUAGGCUCCAAAAGGAGGGACUAGAAUUAGGAUUAGAUUAUAGAUUAUUUUAAUACAUUUUAUGGCAAAUUCUGAUUUGGAAAGAUAAGAUUAUCCUUUUGGUUUUCCUUAUUUACCCUUUUGCACCCAUUACGUGUACGCGUCUUCGUGGGCUUUUUGGGUAUUUCAAUUAUAUCGCCAAUGCUAAAUCGACACGUUGCAUAUCAGCCGCGGUACUGCCGUAUGUAGUUGUCCAGAAAUCGAGUCGAUUCUCGAUCGUACAAUAAUUAAAUAAUAUUUCAUACGAAAUGAGUUUAGAUAUAUUUUGAAAAUUUAUUUUUAAUUUAAUUAUACGUGUUAUAUAUUUGUUAAUCGAAUAGAGGUCCCACGUAACAGAGUGUUUCUCUAAUCUUUCAUUGCUUUUAAUUAAUUUUACCCAAAUAAAAAAAAAAAGGAAAAUUUAGAGAGAGAGAGAGAGAUAGCGAAUUAGAAGUUGAUUGUAAUAUCGACACCUGUCAGACAAUCAAAUAUCGUUAGUUAAAAAUCAGUUGUCCAUAGUCAUGGUCAUAGAUGGCGAAAUUGAUACUUAUUUUAAAAAACAAAACAAAACAAAACGAAACGAAACUAAACUAACAGAUGUUGAAAUGCAGUUCCGUGUUAACAGUCUGUGAUGAAUCUUUAUCUUUGAGUAUACCAUUCAAGAAAUUAUCAUUCAAAAAUUUAUUUAAAGCAGCAGCAAAUCACCUUCUAAUUCCUGAAUCAAAUUAAUUCGAUUUUUUUCGAGUCGAUCAAUUCAUUAGAGAAUUAACGGGCUAAGUUAAAGUUUUGUUAGUUAUUUUUUUUUAUAUUCCUUUAGAUGAUAUGAUUGUCAUUGUCUUUCUUUCUCUGGGCAACAAUAAAUACAAGAUGUGCAAAAGCGUAGUGGAACAUAAUUCGAUUAUGGGUAAAGGGAUCAGUCCGCAUAAUGAGGAUAAAGUUUUUCUCUUUAAAAAAAUUUAACCCAAAGAAAAGGUCGUAGUUUGUAAUAGCCGACACGCAGAUAGAUCACAAAGCAUGGCGGUCCUGAUGGCAAUAACUAACUGAUAUCUUCUGCGAUGAGAGGAGAUCACGUGGUUCUGACACGUAUCGCCCCAUCAACUGAUGUUGUGGCUGCAAUCGCGGCCCAGUCUUUAGAGAGAAGAAAGAUCUGUUAUAACGGGACCUACUUUAGCAUCUAUUUACGACAAAGCCCCUAUUUACUCUACUUAGUAGUAAUAAUAGCAAGUGUCGGGCUUGGAUUCCGUGUUGCUUUAAAUAAAUAUCCGCGUAAAAAGAAAAUGCUUCUUUAAUCCCUUCCUUGUAAUUUUUCGACACGUGGAUGGUUGAAAUUAGCGUGCCGACAUCUUAGGAAUUUUAUCUUGGAGACGGGAACACUGCAGUAGGCAAUGCCAUUUUCUUCGGAUGGUGUGUGGUGACAACGCCUUGGAUUUUGACGUGCAAAGAAUUUAAAUUGAAAAAGAAAAAAAGAAAUUACCAGAAUAAGCAUAGAAGAGAUAUUUUUCUUUUUGUCCUUUUUGGAAUGGAAAAAGAGAUCAAGAGAUUGUUCCAGUAAGUAUUACACAUGUCACAGGCUUAUUCAUGCCCCAUUAUGGCAACUUUUAUGCCUCGCGGUGCCCUCGGUUCCAGCAUAAUAGCUAAGACUUCAAUUUUUCUAACAUAUUUUUGUUACAAAUAUGAACGGAGUAAAUGUAUAACUUUAAUCCUUUGAAUAAAGAAAUGGCGGUUCUCCUGCUCGUUAAUCUCACUUGAAUCCCACCCAGGCAAAAUUUCUUUAUUUUAUUUAACAACAAUUUAAAGAAAGAAACUUUUGCCAGGUUGAAUUUCAAGUGAGAUUCAUUCGUGGGAGAAGUGCCAUUUCUUUAUUCAAAAGAUUAUGGUAAUUACAACUUUCAAUUUCGACAUAAAUUAAAAUUAUAGGCUAUACAAUAAAAUUGCCCUAAAUUAGUCCUAAUCAAUUCAGAUUAUAAAUUUAGGUAUAUUUAUUAUUUUAAUAUAUUAAUGUUCUAUAUAUAUAUAUAUAUAUAUAUAUAUAUGUGUGUGUGUGUGUGUAUNNNNNNNNNNNNNNNNNNNNNNNNNNNNNNNNNNNNNNNNNNNNNNNNNNNNNNNNNNNNNNNNNNNNNNNNNNNNNNNNNNNNNNNNNNNNNNNNNNNNNNNNNNNNACAGCAGAAAAUAUUUGCUAUGGAUAAGGAGACAUGGUCCCACGUCCCACCGUCCCAAUGCAUAUUUUGUAUGUUUCCAUCUUUUCUGAAAUUUUAAUAAAUAAAGUUUUUUGACCACUUGGCCAAAGAACCUUACCCUUACACAACUUUGUGGUUGGAGUCCUGUGAUACAUGUAAGAACUUAUUUUUUUUCUUAAUUAUAAUAUUUUAGAAUAUAAUUAAGUGAAGUAGGUUUUUUUUUUAAAUAUGAGUAAAAUAGAUAUUUUUUAAAUAUUAAAGAGAGUAAAAUUUGAAUAAUAAUAUAUUAAAAUUAAUACAAACUAAUUUUAAUAAUUAUUUAAUUAUAAAUAUCAAUUAUAACAUCAUAUAAUAUCAAUUAUAAUAUCGUACAUCUCAAUUAAUUCAAUAAUAAUAAUAAUAAAUGUUUUUUGGGAUAAGUAAACAGUCGCAUGGCGACAAUAGUGGAUCUGGAUUAGAGUGAAGUGGUCCCAAGAGGCUGAGGCUGUGGCUGUGGAGUUCUAAAAGUCAAAAGCUCCACGCACUUUGUUUCAGUACCAUACACACUGAAAAAAUUUGCAUUUGCAAUGACGAAAACUUUUCACGAAAUCAAAACACCUCUAAACUAUUUUGUUAUCGAUAUUUAAUGGAGGGGUUUCCUACCUUUUUAACACUCGAUUCACGCCUUGACGCAUCUCACAGAAAACCUCAUGAUCCCAUUAAUCUUGCGUAACAUAUCUCAAAGCCAAUGCAAGUGAUCUUGUUGCCUACUUCCCUUUGACGAUUCAAAAUUGUUGAAAAUAAUUCUUUUUUUUUUUAACCUCAAGGAAGUGACAAAAUAUAAAAGAAUAUUUUCUACACAUUAAACAUCUAGAUUUUUUUUUCUUUUCUUUUUAGAGUACUUGCACAAACCGUUUCCAAGAGAGACCUUUUUUUUUUUUUUUUUUUUCCGGGCUUGGUUACUAAUUUGGUGUGAAUACUCUAUGGUGAAAAAGGAAUCACAAAGCUGUAAUCAAUUUUUUUGCAUCAUUUAGUUGUAACUUGAACAUUGGGAGGUUUAUAAAGAAUUAAAUUAAUUAUAAUGCCUCUACUAGGAAAAGUUCAGAGUAGCCCUUCACAACUUUUUAAAGGCUUAAUAAUUUUCGCUUUCUUCCUCUCAUAACAUAACAAAAAAUUAAGAGCUUUACUCGUACACGUCCUAUGGCUAUAUAGUAUUGGGUUCUCUACUUCAAUCGGCUAUCUCAAACCGAAGGUUAUUUGGACACACCAGCAGUCACGUUUGGAAACUCUCAAAUGCUUGGAUUGUAAUUCUUGUGGAUGAGAUCAUCUAAAUCUUGGGCCCAAGCCGGACAAUGGGUGGACAAAGAACCCUAAAAUACAGUAAAGCUUCUAACACCCCACUAAAACUCUUAAGAAAUCCUACCUUUUAUUUUUAUAUCUCUUUCUUUUAGAAAUUAUAGAGAAGACAUAGCAUUUUAAUUAUUUUCCCUGCCAUUGAAAAUAAAUUCUGUAAACAUAUUUUUUCAUAAUAAAAUUAUUGUUAUUAGAUAAUUUAUUUCUUCAUUGUUUCAAAAUUAUUAUAAUUUUAUCAACAAAAUUAGUUAUGUCAUAUAUUAGGAUUAAAAUUAAUUAGGAUCCAUAACUUGUAAAGACAUUUUAGUUUAAUUGAAUUCAUAUUUGUCAUUUUAUGUAAUUUUCAAUAAAAAUACGACUAUGAGUGCAAAAGUGGGAUGACAUAAUAUUAAAAGAGUGUGAAAUAAUCGGUAAUUGAAAUGGAUUGAAAUCAUAAUAGAGUAUGAAAAUCAGAAUAAAUUGUUUACUUUAGUUGUAGAAAUCAAAAUUAAAAUAAACCAUAUUAUCAUUGAUGUAUAUAUGUUUUCUUGUAAUCGAAAUGAAUUCUUAUAAGUUACUAUAAGACCCUUAUGGUGUGUUUACUAAUCAGAAAUCAGAAUGGAGUGGAAUUUGAAUAUAGAAUGGUAGGGGUAUUCGCGGAUCGGAUUUUACGGAUUGGACAUUAAUUCAUAUCCGAUCCAUAAUUUUACGGAUUAUAAAUUCUCAACACAAUCCAAAUCCAAUCUAUAUGUUUGCAGAUCGGAUGCGGAUUUGACUCAAUUCAUAUCCAAUCCACUAUUUGACGGAUUGAUUUUGGAAUUAAAAAUUUUUAAUUUUGUCCAAUCUAUGAGGUAAUUAAAUUUAAAAAUCUAAUAUAAAAAUAAUUUAUUAAAUAAAAAAUUAACGUAAAAAUAAUUUUACUACCAAUUAAAUUCAAAAUUGAACAAGAUUUAAAUAAAUUAAUUAUUUAAAUAAAACUAGAAUAAUUUAUUUAAAAUUUUUAAAUAUAACAUAUCGAAAAAAAAUUCAUUUGUUUAGAUUAAUAUAUGAAAAUUAACUAAAAUUAUGAAUUUAAAUGUUGAAAUUUGAGAGCUUGGAUGUAACAGGAAGAAAUUAAGAAACUUGAAGAACUUGAAAAGAAAGUAACAAAUUAAGCUUAACUACCUCUAAUGGUGAAGUGAAACAGUGAUGGUUUGUGCGUGCAAUGGGGUACAAAUUUGGCAUUAUAUGCCAAAAUAUUUUGUUUGGCUUUAGAAUUUUUAAUGUUUAGGAAGCUAUAUUUGUUUAUUUAAUUACUCAAAUAUUUAAUUAUUUUUUAUUUUAUGUUAUUAUUGAAUAAGAUAUAAUAUUGUGUUAAUUUAGCUAUACUUUAAUUAAUUAAUUAAUUUAUUAGUAAGUAGCAUUGCUACAUUUAUAAGUUUUAUUUUUUAUUAAAUAAAUACUUUUUUUUUUCAGAUUCACGAAUUUUUACGGAUUUACAGAAAUAAAUCCAUAUCUAAUCCAUCGACUGUGGUUUUUUAAAUUUUCAUUCCAAUCCGAUCUACCAAUCCACAAAUUAUAUUUUUACGGAUCGGACGAAUUGAGCGGAUCAAAUUGGGUUCUGAACACCCCUAGAGAAUGAGAAUCAAAAUAAAUUAUUUACUUUAGUUGUGUGAAUCGGAAUUGGAAUAAAUUGUACUGUCAUUGAUGUGUUUACUUUAUCUUGGAAUCAGAAUGAAUAAUUUCAAAUUACUAAACUGACCUUAAUUUUUUAUUGUAAUAAUAAUAGUAGUAGUAGUAGUAAUAGUAGUAAUUUUCUAUUAUUAUUAUUAUUUUCUCUCUCUUUUGUUUUUAUUUUUUUAUUUUUCUCUUCUUCUUCUCUUCCUCUUUUUUUAUUUUUCUCUAAUUCAUCGAUACUUCUUCUUCUUCUUUUUUCUUUCGUUUUUAUUUUUAAUUUUUCCCUUCUUUAUCGUUCCUUCUUCUCCGUCCAUUCUCUAUCUUCAAACUCUUUUUACUUUUUCUCUUAUUCUUCAUUACUUCUUCUCCCUUUUUUUUUUUUUUCUCUUCUUUAUUAAUUCUUCUUCUUCUGCGUCUAUUCUUCAUCUUCAAAUUAUCAAGUGAAAAAUACCCACGGUGCCUUACAAGAAGAAUUGGUUUUGUUUGCUUCAAUUAUUUUUUGUAUUUUGUACUUUUGAUUGUUUCAAAAGAGGAUAAACUUGUAAUAAUGCAAUUUAAGUAGGGAUGUUUUAGACAAUUUUGGGUAUGAGAGUCUAAUUCCCAACCCCCCACUCCCUCGUAGCAGACUCCCAUUCUUCAUUCCUAACUUGGUGUUGGACCUACUAAAAUAAAUCCCAUUCCCCUUCUUAUUUCAAGAAGCAAACACGAUUUUGAUUUCAAUUCCCCAAUCCGAAAGUAAACGCACAAAAAUUGUACCCAUAUGAGAUUGCUUAUCCUCGAGUUUUUAGAUUGAAAAAAAAAAAGGAAAAAAGAAUGGCCCCAUUAGGAAGGGAUUUUAAGUGUUAGAUAAAGCCGGUGUUAACCAUUAGAAGGUCUCCGACCUUCAACUGUAAUAUAUUAAACCCAGAUAAAUUUACAUAUAAAUCACACAAACCAACAUGCCAAUCAAAUAAAUUACAUCAACUAACAACAAUUGACACAUUAAUUUUCAUAAUACAGAGGAUGCAGAAAAUUAAAAUGUUUUAUCUUUUCUCCUUAUUUGUGAAUUGGAAAAUGAAAAUGUUAAACAUACAGAAGAGUGAAACAGGAUGGAUAUAUAUACACACACACACACACACAGCUUUGGAGUUCAAUGUCAUCGUAUUGCUCCAAGAAGAUUGGCGCCAUCAAGCUUUGCACCUUCCAGAUGCUGUUUAAUCAUCACCAUAACACCUUCAGUAGACAUUAAUACAUAAUAGAAACACAAAAUUCACAUGAUCUGAAUGUCUGGUCUAUUUUACUUACCGUAUCUCGAAGAUUUACGUGCCGUAAAUAAGCUCUUUGAAGGUUGGCACCCUUUAAAUUGGCAUUACGUAGCUUUGCACCCUGCCGCAUAAAUGUUCGAAGUUUCAACAAAUUAAAGUCUCCUGAGAAAUACAUGUCACGAAAAAGUAGGGCUGAAACUUGCAUCUAAUGUACAAGAUUCAAUCAGGGGUGCUUGUCCCACAGUGAAAGUGUAUGGGGGAAAGUGCACUUUCACAAACCAAAGGGGCAAGAUGUGAUUAUCACACGAUUACAAAAGGACUGUAGUCAAGAGAGAGAACUGAACAUGCAGCUUGUAUUGAGGCCAUGAAAAUUGAUGAAAAGCAGUAACAAGCAACCAUUUUGAAAACACUUCAUAUGGUCGAAUCAAUAAAUCAAAGCUAAAAUGAUGUUGACGAUCGAUAGCUUUUAGGUGAUAAGAGUCUUGGCACUACAGUUAAAAUUAUUAUCUAGGAGUGCACACAUUAAUAAAAAAAAACACAACCAAUAAGCAUGCACUCUUAAUCAGCAUAUAAAUUAACAAGUUAGUUGCACCUUAUGUUGUUCCACAAACAGAUUGCUCGAACAAUUCACAAUCUUACCUUCAAAUUAGCUCCUUCCAAAUUAGCUCCCUCUAGGUUGGCAUUAGUAAGAUCAGCAGUCUGAAAAGUCAAGAGGACAAACAGAUUGCAAUUUGAUUAAAAUCUCAAAGUAGCAACAUUCUGCAUGAAAGAAGAGCAGCACAAUUGGCAACAUACAUUUUAGAUUAAGAGGAUGGGAUAAAAGCAAAAUUACAAGGACAUGAAGCAAAUGAGCCAUGUUUAGUAUGGCAAUUUUGACCCAAUAAUUGUGGCAGGUCUUGGAGAUAACAUAGGCAUACACAUAAGGCAGAAGCAAAUACUGUCGCAAACUCCUAGCUAACUACAAAUGUUCCAUAUAGAAAAAAACACCUGCAAAAGUAAGGGAAAAAGCAACAGAUAAAGAACUCAAGAUGCUAGACCUGUAAGUGUGCAGAUCGCAGGUCUGCUCCACAGAAGCUGCAGUCUAUCAAGCAAGCAUCUGCAAUGAUUUAAGAUAAAUUUGAAUCCAAAUGACAUUUUACCGCAAGUAGUUCCAGCCAUUUUGGGAACAAACAAGAAAUGCUAUUUUGUAUUCAUUGUAAUUCCUUAAGCUAAAUAACAAUCAUGUGCUAUCUUAACCAAGGUACAGUUGCAAAUUCUGAAAUUGUGAUGCCAUAGGUUGUUCUUAAUCUUUUUGAACUGAAUAUUGAAAAAAUAUUCCUUCAAUCAUAAAUGUUAAAUAAUUAAAAGAACUGUGAGGGGGGNNNNNNNNNNNNNNNNNNNNNNNNNNNNNNNNNNNNNNNNNNNNNNNNNNNNNNNNNNNNNNNNNNNNNNNNNNNNNNNNNNNNNNNNNNNNNNNNNNNNNNNNNNNNNNNNNNGGGGGGGGGGGGGGGGGAAUGAAUAAGCGGAUGCAUACAGAAAAUUAUGGAAAAUCUGUUAUGGAAAUAAUAUGAAAAUGGGUAUGCAUAACUACAUACUGAAUCUUGACUAAUUUCAAUUUAAUUCAGAUAAGAAAUUCCAGUAUGGGAAUUGCCUUGUAAAUUUGCACUCUGAAGAUUUGCACCAGCUAGUAAAGCUCCACGAAGGUUUGCCCCAGCAAAUUCACAUCUUCCCUAGGCAAGAUAAAACCCUUAAAAGGCAAUUUUGAAAAAUACAUAUAAUUGGGAGAAUAUCCAGUAUUGCUUUGACUCUCUUACUCACGCAAAGUUGCAUUGUGAAAAAUGGAACCCUCAGCAUCCACAUCCUGUAUCAAGAACAGACAGAUUCAGUAUGAUUAAUAUAACUGGUUGCUGGAAGACAGGACAAAAUCGCAUCUUGUCACUGUCAACUUGCAUGUUAAGAAUUAAACACGAAAACUGCAUGCUGUCCAAUUAUAAGAAACCUAUAAAAUUCAAAUCAACAUCAAUACUGGCUUAAGGAAGAUAUAAAAAUAAAAAUUAUACCAACCCGAAAUUUCGCAGAUUGAAGAUUUGCACGUGAGAAGAAAACAUUUCUAAGACACGCAUAGCUGAAGUCCACAAGUGAAAGAUCCUGGCCAUUUUAAUAAGAUAGCAUCAGAGGAAACAAUAUCUAAUGAAUAUAUAAUGUUCUUUCUUGCUUAUCUGAGAAUACUAAUGAGAUUAUCAAAAAAACUCUAAGCUACUGCUAAGAAGUCUUGUGUUACAUGAGUAUGAAUUGAGGAGGUAAAGAAGACCCUUCUCCAAUAAGUUACCAUAGAAGCCACAUAAAACCCUAAAGCAGUUACAAACUUACAAUGACCAGAAUAAACCACCCCAACUAUCUAUUGGCAAGUAAAAUCACUUCUCUGGAUUUCUGAAAACUAGCAAAACAAAUGCAUAAAUUGGCAAAUUCGAUGAUUUCCUCUGAAAACCAAAUUAUAGCAGACAUAAAACUUGGAAGUAUUCAUAGAAUAAAAAUCUUUCAAGCACCUCAAUUCAGUAAUUAUUACCAGCUUAGAAAGAUCAAGGCCAGAAAGAUUAAGUCCUCGAAAUCUGACUUUUUCAGACUGUAUACACUUGAUGAUAUCAAUGCGUGUUAGCUCAGUAUCUAACUCAUUAUCUUCCUUUCUCUUAUUUAUGACAGCAUGGAUUCUCUCAAUUAGUCCCUGAAAUGAAACACAUUAGAUGCAAACUAUUAUUUGAAAAAAGAAAUACAUUUUAUCCACUAACACACAUGGAUUUCAACAGCAAUCAUACAAUAAUUGAGGAAGGACGGUCAUAUCAGACUCAUCUGCCAAGAUUCAAUAAGCACAUCAAACUUGUUUACAUGUAAUUUCCACAUUCCACGUGAAUUUAUAAGGUCUGCCUAAGCAAACCAAAGAAGGCUACACUCAGUACUGUGUGUAUACUGCCUUACCUUUGCUGUUCCCCAGAUACCGUCCUGCAAUCCAGAUACUUAGCUGUGAAGUUUCAAGCCAGCGAAACCAUUUUAAAAGUACACAUGGACACAGAUACCAUUAUCUGAAUCAUCUUCGAUAACAAAUUAAAAUGCCCUAGCGUUCAAAAAACUUAGGAUCUCUUUAAGUGAAGUUCCUUUAAAAAAGUAGAAAAAAACUGAACAACAAUGUCAUGCUAAUAAAAGGUAAAAAAAAUAAAAUAAAAUAAAGCAUAAGGACAGAAGUUCACCAGGAGCAUGCCAGUAUAAACCAAAACGACCACAAAUCUCAACCAUAAAAUUUAAAGUAGUAAAGUAAAUAAUCAAGGGCAUGCAGUUGGCACAGGUGCUUCCAAAUAAAAUGAUGAUUCUUUUCAAACAGAAAAAAGAAAUGGAUGUUAAUAAACUAGAAGAAACCAUGUCUUACAAGUAAUUGAUAAUAUUCUGCUUCCCGUAGAAGCUCUAAAAACUCUGACUCUGUUAAUGUGGGGACAGCCCCAUCCCUUAACCAAUUCAGAAUAUGCCGAAAAUGUUUUCCGUCCCUAUCAACAAAGAUAUAGCCCUGCAAUAAUUCAAUAUGCUCAAAGAUAAGAAUCUGAAUAAUAUACCCAAGAGAAGUGCUUUUCCCUGGAAUAAUAAAAAGAAAAUAAGUCAAAACGUUUUUCUUAAUGGAAGAACACAAAGGAACAGCUCUAUGACUAACAUGAAAACCAUAAAUCAGAAUAAGAACCCAAAACUGGUCAUUUGGAGUUUCACCAGAUCAAAAAGAUCACAUGGAAAUAAAAUUGUGAAAAUGGGAUUAUUUAUGCCGAGGUCAUGGCUAAACUGCAAUCAUUACUCCAUUUUUGGUAGAAGGAGAAGAAGAAAGAAGAGUAGGUGAGUCAUCAUUCUUUCAGGUGAGUCAUCAUUCUUUCUCUGUGAUUAAUUGAUAUGAUGGAAGUGUUGUAGAUAUUAAUUUGAUAGUGAUUCCUCCCUUCAAAAGAAUUCAUUCCUUUUUUUAUUAUUUCACAAAGUUUAACUAAGACUGAGUUUUCUCAAUUUGAAGGCAUCGUGCACUCUACCCCUUUCUUUUCCUCACAUUGCUUCUUCCCAAUCCCAAAGGGAAGAAAUCAAGAAACAAUUACAAUUUUUAACUAUUCACCAGCAAAAACAAGGCAAAGAAAGAUGCUGAGUGUAAGCAAAAAUAAGAGAGUUAUACACCUCAGAGUCUUGGCACACAGUAUGGCGACCGCUGAACAUAGCUGCAAGCAUAGAUUCAGGCUCACGACGAGUCAGAGUAUCAAUUGUUGUAUAAAAUUUCUUUCCCCCUGGAUAUUAAUACAUAAAAUAUAAAUUUGUUCACUUAAAAGCAUGAAUUGUGCAAAUUUGUCAAUAAUGUCAUUCUUUCACAAACGUUCACCGAAAUGUAUAACAAUAAGUGCAUCAUAACAUAACUAAACGGCUUAAGAACUGCGCAGAUAUUACAUACAGUAGAGAAACAAGAAAUAGAAAAUGAGAUUUGCCCUUUUUAAACAGAAAGCAAUCAAAGAGUAAACUAAAGAGCUAAUAAUUCACAAAAUUCAGUUGAUUAAACUCAUUUACAAGUAAUUAGCAACAAAAUCCAAGCUAAAUAAAAAUAAUGAAAAUUAGGUUCUUAUAACAUCCGUCAAUUCUAUGAAAGUUUACCACGAUCAGCAACAAAUAGAUAAAUCGCAAUAAAGAAAAACCGACGACAUGUCGGUUGUGUAGUGCAUAAGUAAAGGAAUUUGCAGAUGAUGUAAAGAGAAUGAGGGAUAGUAACUGACCGAUGUUGAGACGAACCAUUGAAGACGAAUCGGAGUCCUUCGCCAUUGUCGAGUGUAAUGACUUGUCGUCUUACUUGCGCUCAUAGGUAUUUAUAUCAUAGCUGACACUGUUCGAAGGACAGCAAGGAUUUGGUGGGCACAAAUGCAUUUUGGAAAUUGGGCUUCGGCCCAAGAAAUCGAAAAUCAGAGGCUUUUUUUUAAAAAAAAUUUAAAAGGAUUAGAAUGUCUAUAAAUUAAUAGGGCUGAGACCAUCUUAAAUCUAUUAAGUAAAAGAGAUAUUAAAUAUUUUAUUAAUUAAUAAUUUAUUAAUUUACAGAAUUAUUUAUAAUUCAAUUAACAUACAUUUAAUAACUAAACAUUCAAUGUACAUAAUUUCUGAUUACAAUUCAAAGCACUAACAAUACUUCAUAAUUUCUUAUUACAAUUCAAGAAUUCAACCUCAUAGCUUUUAGAUGCAAUAAGAAAAAUAAGAAAUAAGAUUCAGUUAUAUUUAAAUUUUAAGAAAAAAACAAUAAAAUCAUAUUUUAUGUAAUUAAAAUAUCAUAGUCAACUACAUUUGUAAUUUCAACAAAUUAUUACUCUAUGAUUUAAAUGAGACCACAAAGUUAUAUAAGAUUUUAUCGAAAUUAUUAAUUUAAUCCAUUAGUCCAUGUCAAGACCUUGAAAAUUUAAUAAUUAUAUAAUAGAGAUUAUUAAUUUAUCGAGUAUUAAUUUAUAGAAGUUCUGAUUGUAUAUUAUUUUAUAUUAAUAAAGAAUAAAGUAGCAUUCUUUUUUAAUUCCGAAGUAAUAAAAUUAUGGCUAAAUUAAGAGAGUAGAUAUAUUUUAUAACUUGGUUUAAUAACAUCACGCGCCUCCCUUGUAGUUUUGCAGCUUUGAAGCUUUAUAAUGAAUCCUAUUAGCUUUGGCUGGAAAGUUAUAUUGUUAAAGAGAGUUUAUAUAUUAAACAAGGUGAUCUAAUAUUUCCAAAACUAAAUUUGGGAUCAAAAAUAGAAAACAUUUGCAUGUUUUUACCUUUUGGAAGAAUUACUUGAUAAGUGCUUCACAGAAAAAUGCUUGCUAUUAUAGAGCACCCUAAAAAAAAUCCUUAAUAAUUGAGGGAUCAUAAUAAAGUUCAAUUCUAAAUCUGUCAGAUAGAUCGAAAGUAACAAACCAUAUAUAUUUAAAUCUAUUUAGUAAUCCAGGGUUACAAGCCAAGCGUGCAAUAGCCAAUUCUGAAAAUCAAAGCUCAGCCUAUGCUCUCUGAGCACAAAUAAGAUCUGAUAUAUACAUAUCGAAUCCUCCAUUAUGUGGAGUGAAAUUUCCAUCGUGUACGGUGUACCUAACAAUGAGAAAGCAUGGCAGCAUAAAUUCAUCUUCCAUGUUAUUCUACUUAUUAGUACUGGUUCCCUCAUAACUUCUCCAAAUCGGGGAGGUCUGCAAUGUGUAAAGCACGUAAUCAGAUAAAAGAAAGAGAGCCAAAAAAAAAAAAAAAGGUAACAGCCAAAAGAUUAAAUUUCUUUGAGAAAUAGAAAAUGGGAGCUUUUGGCAUAGGCACAGAAUAGAAAGUAACAGAGUCAUUUACAGUUGUUCAGAAUAUGCAAGCUGAAAACAACUUUGAAUGCAAUGGACAAUUCCUCCAACAAACAAUCGAAUUGGAUUGUGGAAGAGACAAAAGCUUAAUGAGGUUAUGGUUUUGGCUAGGUGAACUCAAAAUUCUUUUAUAGACCAAGUAGGUAAAAACAAAUCCCAUAUAGAUGGAUGAACCUCAUACCAUGAACAGUUAAUCGCGAACACUUGCAGGCUUAUGCACACGACUAUGAAGAUACUAAGGGUUUCACCGAUGGUAAGUGAAAAAUAUAUGAUGUAUAAUUUAAAUGGAAGCACAUAGUUUCGGAUUGAAUUCAAGGUUAAAGUUCCACAGACAGACAGAAGAGAUGAAGCUUAAAAACUUACAGAGCAUUCCUUCAUCAUCACUGCUUUCAUCAUUUUGGCCAACAUGCUGAAAAAAGAAUAUGAUUCAAGUUAAAUGAUUGAGCAACAAUAAAAAACGUGCAAAAUUAAUGCUCUCUCCACAAAAAUUUCAGUCUAUAUUGGUAAGAAGAAACAGGAAGAAAAAAUUACCUCAGCAUCAUCGUCAUUGGAAGCCAAAUCAGCUGUAAAGACCACAAAAUGUUUGGUUAGAACCAGUGGAAGUCUUACUCUAAAAUUUUUAAUUUUUGAAUUUCGAAAGAUCUCGUAAUGACAAAGAUUUUCAUAUCCAGUGACCAAGUUUUGAAAAUUAGAAUACGGAAUGACAUCAACUAAAUUCACUAAUAUAAGCUAGAGGAAUCCCUAGUAGAUAUAGCGCACAUGCACACAUGAUAUGCAUCCGAAUACACAAUAAUAAAUUAUCUCAAAGUCAAUAAGAAGCCAAAAUUAGAGAUAAACUUUUAGCCACUAUAAGGAAGACUGAUAUUUGCAGUGUGAUUACAAUAAACAAACAGAAACUUCACUACCCAUAAGUAAAACAAAAUAAAUAAAGGAUAAUAACUAACCAAGAAAUGGAAAAGCUCACAUUCUCUGAACACGCACCCCAAAAAGAAAGAAAGAAAUAAAUGUUCUCAUUGGAUCUGAAGCACAAGCAAUCCACUGACAUCCUUCUAUAAUUAGGUAAUUUAAAGGGGUUAAGCUCACAUCUUUUACGGAAGUAAGAAGAGAAUUAACAACCUUCCAGAGGAUUUAGGGAAAUACCACGAGGCAAGAAAAAAGAAAUAUCCUUCUUCAAUCUAGAUAUCCUGAUACUGCUCACCAUCUACAACAGUCUGUGGCUUAAAAAGCAGGUCACUGAUCUCUCCCUCCCUCUGGCACCAUUUUCUCUCAUGUCUCAUUUUUCCCUUCCUGCCAACUCCCACUACAGUAUUGAAACCUAUUCUAUCAACUCUUCCCCCUCCAAUAACAAGACCAAAACCAAUUUUACUCGCCGGUUAGCUAGGUAGUAAAUGGAAAUUUGUGAAUCUGUCAUUCAUCCGUAGAAACAAACCAGAACUGCAUAAAUUCUCUUCUCUCCCAACAGCUUCUUUUCUCCAGAAAUAGGCACAAGUAUUUGACAUGGAAACAGUUUAUCUAACAUGGCCACCUUUAAAGACAAAGACAUACUAAGGACGUGGUUUUAGAUACGGAUACAAGAAACAAUCACAAAAUGUAAAAUCUAUACAUAUGAUAUUAAUUUCCAAUGGAUACAGCAAUUCAUUCUUUGACAUAACUUCAUCAGAUUACUAGGUUUGAUUAGGUUAUACACACAUUUAUUCAUUUAUUGAAUCUACAUGCACUUAGAAUGAGAGGUACCUAUAAAAACAAGUUACCAGAAAACAAUACAGCUAGAAAACAUUAAUCUAAGUAGUUCUAUAGGUUUAACUAACUGCAGGAAAAAACCAUUGAUUUUGUCCGCCAGAUUAUCGAGAUCCUAAUUCUGGUAAAAAGAAAAUGAGAUAAUAGAAAAUCAAAAAUUAAAUAGACACAAAAUGAGAAAUCAAGAUCAUAUGGCAACUAAUAUAUAGCAUGGGCUGCAGCUAACAAGCAAUAUAAGCCAUGAUAUUAUGCCAGAUACAAAUUUUGAGAUCCAAGAGAGAUCAAGAAGCAUGAAUACCACUAAAAUAUCGAAAGAAGUGAGUGCAGAAGGAUAAGAAAUCAGGUUGAUAUUCUUCAUACUUUGGAUCAACACGUAGUGAUGCAAUAAACUUGUAAUUAGCUUCAAAUGUAUAGGCUACCAUGUCAACAUUUCCGAAAACACACAAGAUUGUGCUGGAUUCAUACAUAGUACAUAUAUAAAAAAACAAUCUGCUUCUAAACUUCAUGAGAACAUCGAAUAAUGAACUUACAAUUUGAUCCCUCAUCAUCUUCAUCGCACCAUUUGUUCCAAUCAACCUUAAUGUAAGGUGCUGGUUUCUCUUC
This 81898-nucleotide long non-coding RNA is filed under the name Citrus sinensis (sweet orange). RNAcentral describes it as "long non-coding RNA (CSIN_LNC002323)". The record is from RNAcentral. Lineage: Eukaryota; Viridiplantae; Streptophyta; Magnoliopsida; Sapindales; Rutaceae.